UUUUUUUUUUGGGUAUAAUGGCAUGUAUAGGCUAAAUUUGACUAAAUGAUGGCAUGUAUGUGUUUUGUUGUAAUUAGCCAUUGGAAUGGCUUGUAAUGGUCAUGUUUUGAUACAUGUGGAAUUACCAUGUUUGAAAUAUGAAUUUGAUUAUGCAUAUAUGCAUUUGGUAUCUAGGUAAGUAUAAGUUUUGGAAUGACAUGAUAAUAAAUUGUCUAUUGGGGUGCCUAAGAGAACAUUGGUUGUAUGUGUAAUAUGUCAAGUUUAAGACAUGAUUUUGGUUUGUUUUAAAUGCUUUGAUAUGGUUUGUGAAUGUAUUUAAGUGUUAUUGUAGGUGGAAAACAAGUUUGGGUGAGAAAUAUGGCUAGGAAAUGGCCUUAUUUUGUCCACACGGGUAGAGACACGGACGUAUGUCUCAACCGUGUGUGACACACGGCCUAGCACACGGGCGUGUGUUUUGGCCGUAUGACCCCUACAUCUUUAAAAUUUCAAAACAAAAUGCUCAGAAUUGAUCACACGGCCUGGCACACGGGCGUGUGGCUUGGCCGUGUUACCCCUGCACCUACACACGGCCUAGCACACAGGCGUGUGACCCAAGUUAGAGAGUUACACGGGUACAAACACAGGUGUGUCUCUUGGCCGUGUGAGCCACACGGCCUGACCACACGUGCUUGUGUACCUUGUACCGAGGAAAAGUUUUGAAAUUUUGUAAAAAAUUCUCUAAGUACCCAGAUUAGUCCCGACUUAUUUCUAUUGCAUAUUUUGGGCCUCGAUGGCUGAUAUAAGGGACAAUAUGAUUGCUUAUGAUUGAUUUCUUAUAUAAAUGAGAAAUGAUAUGAAAUGUUUGUACUUGAUCUGUAAACUCUGGUAAUGUUCCAUAACCCUAUUCUGGCGACAAAUAUGGGUUAGGGGUGUUACACAUUAUGCAUGUUUAUGAAUGGUUUAUGUUAUGAUUUAAAUUAUUGAAUGAUUUAAAGUUUAAAUGUUUCUGAUUGAAUGGUAAUACUUAAUAACCCUAUUUCAGCGACGGAUACGGGUUAGAGGUGUUACACCGUGACAUGAAAAUUCACCAUUUUUCUAACGUAAACAUGCCAGCCUAAUUUUGUCUAUAUUUGUCUCAACCCAUAUUUUCUCAUUUCACCCAAAGUACAUGAACUUUAUCAUUUAUACAAUUUAAUCAUUAAACCCUAAAAUCCACUAAAAUCCACUUAACAAAUAAUGUUCAUUCAACCACCAAAAUUAAUUAUCUAACACUUAACAUCACAACACAUCAAAUUCAUUCAUCGCAAGUCCCUCAACCUUUAAUAGUUUUGCAAAUUAACCCCUGGGCUAGGUAGAUUAAACUAAAAUGAGCUCAAAAAUAUAAAAAUCAUUAAAAACAGAAUUAAAAACAUUUACAUGCAAAGCUCCAAUGUUGUUCAAACUUAAAGCUAACAAAAUGGUUUUCUUUCCCACAAAAAUCAGUGGAGGAGUGUUUCAAAAAAUAUGACACUAUUUUGGUUAUCUUUUUUUAUUAUUACUAAUUAGUUAUUUACCAUUUUAGCCUUUAAAAACAUCCAAUUUUACUCAAAUACCAAACCACUAAAUUCCACUAACUUGCACAUAUGGUAUUUUUACCAUUUAAAUCCUUUCAUUAAAGAUUCCACAUCCAUUUAACCCUUUAACAAAAGGGAUCAACUUUUGCUCUUUUUUUAAUUUAGUCUUUUUUAAUUAAUUAACCAUCUAAACCUCAAAAUUUCUUAACAACAAUUUAAUAUGACCCUAAUAUAACGCUAUAAACAUUAAAUAAACAUUAAAAUAUUUAUUCACUCAUUGAAAUUGUGGUCCCAAAACCACAGUUUCUGACACCACUAAAAUCGGGUUGUUUCAUCGUACACAUAUAUAAAUAGUCAAAUUUCACUUACAAGAGCUCAACAUGUGUCACCUGAAUUCAGAGUUUGUCUUUCAUAAUGGCCUACAAAAUCUGAGGAUAAAAUAAAUGAAAAUCUAAUAUUUUAAAUAUCCGAUUACUCAAUUUGGUUGACUCUUAACUAGAUUACCUUAUAUCAUAACUUGGAAAGUGCUUCAAACAUACAAGCGCACUAUACCUCUGGCAUGAACUCACACCAUAACUACAUAUUUACUUUGUUAUUAUCAUAAUUUAGUUAACAUAGUAAUCUGACACAGAACCAUCAUUAACUUAAACCUUUAUUGGAGUACGCCCAUCCUACACGCCCAACGAAGAUACUUGGGGGAUACUACUUCGCCACACAGACUAUUUUGAUACUAUGCGCCAAAAACCUUGAAUCCGCCAAAACUAGGGUGUUACAACAAGGAUAUAUUAUGAGGGUAACACACUUAUGACAAUGUCAUUGGGUGAGCAUUAAAUAGUUGCUUUUGUAAUGGUAAGUCGUUAGAGAGAGCUUAAUCACGAUACUUAGUGGAAUGACUUCAUCACUAAAUGAGUUUAUAAUUAAUAGGUGAAAAGAUGAAACUUAGUUCUAAAUCACUUGAUCCUUAAUUAGAUAUAUCCAAUCGGUCCCUCCAUUAGCUCAUUGAAACUAUAAAGAAACUGCAUAUUGAAUCAAAAUGAAUAAAAAUAGAGAAAUGGGAAACAUUCAGAAAAAUGAUUAUGGUUUUCUCUUAAAUGAAGAAAUGAAAUCAUUUUGGAAAUGAAUGUGUGUUUCUCAAAAAUGGAAAUGAAAAAGAAAAAUGAUUCAUUCGCAAAUAUAUAUGGAUUACUCAAAAAAGAUUAGAAGAAUGAGUUUAUAUUUUUUAGCAGUUUUAAAGCCUGAAAACAAAAAUAAACCAUUCAGUCAUAAUGAACAAGUUGAGUUGUGAAAUAUUGAAUAUAUUUUAUUAAAAAUUUACCAGGGUAAAAUCGUCAUAAUUUUAUAGGGGGUAAAAUUGGGAAGAGAAAAUUAUUUAAUCGGAAAAUUAAUGUUUAUUUUGGAAAAUAGAAAAAUAUGUAUUGGGUUGGAUUAAAUUCUAAAGUGUUGAGUUAAAAGUCCAGAAAACACAUAAAAUUGGACCUAAUACAAUGAGAGACCCGAAUACCCAUCAUAAUAUUAGCCCCUCUCCCUCUUCUAGUUGGACUAGGAAAUUAUUUUUCUAUUUGAACUAAAGCUCUACAAUUCAACAAGGGUUGUAUCUUCUCUCCCUAUUAUAGAUGGCAUCAGAAGAUCUAUUUACAUAAGUUGAAAAUAUUGUCACUCUGCCAAAAAAUAGAGAGAAUUUUUUCUCAACUAUUAUAUAUUUUUUUCGGAAUAACAAUUCUGUCGUUUUUAUUUUGAAAAGAGAAUUUUUGUUUUCACCUCAAAAUUAAAGAAAAUUUUUUCUUGUUCAAGAAUUUCGUUGGUUUCAAAAUCGAGAAAAUUUACAUAAGUUCAAGGUUUAUUGCUAUAAAUAUCACAAAUCGAGUUGGUUUCAAAAUUUUCAUUUUCCGUUGUACAAGAAAUUCGUUUCCAAACUGAAUUUUUUCCAACAUGGAUUUGUUGGACAAAUUAAGAGACCAAAGCGAGGUGGUAGUAGUCAUUAAAGAGGCUGUCGACUGGUGCUUCGUAUGUCACUCCCUUCCAUGAAUAAGGUGUCUCGUCGUUGGAGUUUCAGCUCUGUAACAUGUUUAAGGGAUUGUUAAGAAUAAAGAGCUUGAAAGAAAGAAAUAGAACCCUAUCCGUAUUCAACCCCAAAGCUUGAAACUUAAGAACUAAAAUAAUUAUCCACCAUAAAUGGAGUUUAAUACUAGAUAUGGAACUUUUCAUUUCUCAAACUGAUGAUAAUCCUAUCUUUCUCCUAUGAAACAUAAACACACACUCUGAGAAAAUACUAAAAGAAGUAACUGAUAUUUAUAAUGUAUGUUAAUGAAAGUGCAGAGGCCAUGUGGGGAAAGAUUUCUUUUCUUUUUAAAGAAAAAAAUGCUUGUAAUCGCCAUAUUGUUUUGGUGCACUGCACCGCUCUCAGCUAAUAUAUAAUUUAAAGUUAGCUAGAAAAAUGACUAGAUAAUAUAAUUUUAUAUAUUUAUUAUUCGUCUCUCUCUCACUCUCACUCUCUCACUCUCUCACUCUCACUCUCACUCACUCACACGCACAUUCAUUAAACAAUAAAAUAAAAUCACCUACAGGUUACAAUAUCAUAAUAGAAAGCAUCUUUGUACAAGACAUGGACAUGAAGUUGAAACUUGAAAGUUGCAGUGCUCUCUUAGAUUGACUUUAAUGAAACUUUCAUUAAUGUGUUUUUUUGUAUACAUGAAAAACACUUUGUUGAAAUAUAUAGACUAAUGGCUUCUAGGAAGAUUGGCAUGAGCUUUACUAUCUUCUUGUCAAUUGUUAUAUAAAAAAUAUGAAAAUCUACAAAAUUUGCAUUUAUUCUUUUGGAUGGAUGAAUUUCCAAUUUCAUAACAUAAAAAAAAAAGCUAAAUAGAGUAAAAGUAAUAUGAAAGCCCUUUUACUUAAAAAAAAUGGGCACAUUAGUCCUUAUAUGUUAGAUUAAAAAGUAAAUUGAUCCUUUAUUUUAAAAAUUCCAUCCCUUUGUUCUAUUAAAAAUUAGCUUGCCUAAUAAAAUAACCAGAUAGUGACAUGUAGCAUGCCACAUGUACCUUCUGUUGAAGUAUAGAGACCAAUUUUUAAUAAUAAUAAUUAAUGAAAUUUUUAAUAAAAGAACUAGUUUGCUAUUUGAUCUAACGUAUAGGAACUAAUUGCUCAUUUUCUAGUAUAGAGACCAAAAUGCAAUCCAACUUUUAGUACAUGAGUCACCAUGAUCCUUUUACUGUCUUAGUUAGUUCUAUUCUUUUUUCCCUAAAACAUUCGUACAUAUGAAAAAUAUUAAGCUAGAAAUCUUACUGGACUUGCAUAUAAUGUUUAGAUCAUAUGUUUCAAUUGAAAUUCUAAUGUAUGUGAGAAUCCGAAACAAAAUAAGAAGAAAUAAUGGGAAAUGAGAAGGAAAUUUGAUAACGAAUUUGAAAAGGACUACCGAAUGAAAUUGUUUUUACGAGCCAAGGGUUAUCUAAUAGUUUUUUAACUACUUCAAAUGAACAAUUUAAAUAUCCAUGAUCCAUCCAUUCACGAAAUUUCUAAGUAAGCUUAGGAGGGCAUGUUUUUAUGUCCACUUUAAAAAAAUUUCUUGGAGUUGAAUUAAGUUGGAUCCUUAAAUGAAAAACAAUUCUAUCCUAAUGUUGUUUUCGCCAUCCAUAAGACUUAACCUAAAAUAUUAUGAAAAAACGAGGUUUUUACAAUUCCAAAAAUGUUGAUAACCCUAAACUUUCUCCUUGAAAUAUGGAUUACAACAUUUGAAGUGAUAACCAGCUAGCAAUGAAUCCACUCCAAAAAGAUUUAUGUCCAUGUUUUGGUAGCAAGCAAGAUGAUGAAGUGAUACAUUGCUCUCCAACUUUGGCUGUACAUUUAGAAUUGGUCUAGUUGAUUAUCACUGUAACAUCCUUAUACCUAACCCAAUCGCCAGGUCUGAGCAAUAGGAUGUCACAUUCGUUCCCAAAACAACUCACAACAAAUAUAUUAUAAUUAAAUGAUUGAAUCACGUCAUACACAUUACCAUAUAAAGAUAUACAACUUGACCGAGUCUAAAUUGAGCUUAUGGAAGCUCUUUUGUUGUCCAAGCAUGAAAUAAUACCAAAUUGCAAAAUUUUAAUAUUUUUGAAAUAGGUAUUGAUACUUGACCUUUCUUACAGAUACUCUCUUACAAGUAUUGAUACCAAAUUCUAGUAUUGAUACAUUUGUAAUGUAUCGGUACCCUUGUAAAGUAUCAGUACUUUAGUCUGGUAUAGAUACUGUUUUAGUAUAUCGAUACCUUUUUUAGGAUAUCGAUACCUUAGUGCUAAAAUUGUCAAAAACUUCCAUUUUGAUGUCCAUUCCAUGCCCAAAACAAUUUGGCACAAAAGGUACCUUUAGACACAUCAAACAACUUGUUACAUUGCAAGCUAAUCUUCUAAGCAUUUCAAGCCAUUGAAAUCAACAUUCAACCAUGCCAAAUCUAAGUAUAAUUCAUACUAUUUGCACCUUUAUGAACCAUUCAAACACCAUUUCAACUAUCUAUAUACUUUCCAAACAUUACCAAAACUUUCCAACCACAACAUCAACCAUUUUUACAACAUUUCAUUACCAAUUUAUAUCUAUCAUGCUCAAACUCGUACUCAUUCCAAAACUAAGCAAUGACAUGCACUUUCAUAUUCAAUCUGAUCACUUCAUACAUAUUUUAGCACUUAAACACAUAUAUAUUAUCUUCAAAUGAUGUCCAAACAUAUCCACUUACAUAUGACAUACCAUUUCUAAUUAUGUAUCAUCAUAACAUAUCAUAUCCAAGCACUAAAUUAAAUGAUUCAACAUCAAGUAUAUAUGCACACAAGAUUCAUUCCAUCAUCAACCUAGCUUUAACAAUCAUACAAGGUUUAUCAACUUUCAAAAUUAACCUUGAACUAAGCAAAAUAUAAGGACUUUCUUAGAUAAAUGUCAUUAAACUAACUAAGAACUUCACCAACUUUGUUGUGUUUGCUUUAUAGUUAGAUGUUGAUGUCGAUAAGGUGAUCACGAUCGAAACCUAACCUACGCACAGAAACAAAUCUGUAUGCUGGGUAAUAAACCUAAUGGUAUUUCUAUAAUUAAACAUUAUAAAAUAACAUAAUUUAUUCAAUUGCAUAAAUCAAAGUCCAAUAAAUUCAAAUGCAAAACAACAUAUUAUAAUGCACCAUUUCAUCAUAUACAUCACCCCAUUCAUGCUCUAUUUAUUCAUAUAACCAUAUCACAGAUUACAUAACAUGUCUUUUUAACACAAGUUCAUAUUGAAUUUUUUUACUUUAUAAAUUCAAUGUUCAUAAUCAUCCAUCAUCUCAAUUAAUUUCAUAUACUUUUAUACAUUUUUACUUUUUAAUUCCCCAACUCAGACUCGAACGGAUACAUGGAUCCAACCAAUCACACCAAGUUGGCACCUAGUGCCCCAUCGGACAAAUCUGAAGUAAAUAGUUUGCACCUUGUGCUCAUCGGUAUAACCGAAGUAAAAAUGUGCCUAACACUUAUCGACUCGUAGUUCAUCUUUCAUAAUUCGAUGCUGUAACGCCCCAAAUUUCAGGCUAGAAGUAUUGGGCCUUGAGCUUGGAAGCAGAUAGGAGACUGCUCUUGGAUAUUUUAGUUGUACAAGUGAAUAACACGAAAUUAUGUCUGCUUUAGUGGUUAAGGGUCUUGAGAAGUAUUGGAGAAGUCUUGGGUUCAAACCUGGGCUACAGCAAAAAUUUUGGUUUUAGGUGAAUAAAACCCAGGGAGUAAGUAAGUAGGCUUUAAGAAUAAAAUGUGAUAAAAGGUGACAUAAAGAGAGUGGGUGGUCUAGUGGCAAGGUGGCGUUACAGCCGGCAAGAGGUCUGAGGUUCAAAUCUUAGGAUGAGCAAAAGAGGUUUUAUUUUGCAGUUAUGACGCCUAGUGGUUGUGUUGUAGUGGGAUUCUGCUUUGGUGGUUGUGGAAUUGGUCUUGGGGGAGUGAUUCAUGGGAUAAGGAUUUGGAGGAGUUUGAAAGUGUUUCAAAUUAGGGGUGUUGAGAGAUUUGGUGAGUGGAGUUAGGGGUAUAGUAGUAGUUGGCUGAAAGUGGGUUUCCGAUGGUGCAAAUUCGGUCAUAUGACUUUUAUUCUUGUGCUGAAAGAGGUUGUGCAUUUUUGCUCUCCAUUUCAAAAAUGUUUACCUCUUGUUGUGUUGUUUUCCCCCUUUUAUGUAUUGUGUGUUUUGGUAGCCAAGUACCAUCAGUAUCCAUUCGGGUAAUUGGGUUGUUGUUCUUCAAAAUCGUUCUUUGUUGGAUCAACUUCCUUUCUCUCCCUUAUUGGUACCUUGUCUUUACUUAUUUUUGGUUUUGGGUAGCUAAACGUUUCCUUUCUUGUUAGUCGAAUAUUGUUUGUGCCAUCAACCUUCUCCCUUGUCCCCGAUUGUCGAUUCGCUUCUAUUCUCCCUCUCUCUCAAGCCAUGGUGGAUGACCAUCUCAUCUUCCUCUCGAUUCUAACUUCUCUUCCCUGUCACUCAAAUAGUUUCCGUUGGUAGAAUAUCGAUUGGUAGGCCCCUGCAUAUCUACUCUUUCAAAUUUUCUCUUUUAUUUCCUUAAAUGUCGAUUCUUAUCUUCUUUUUGUUACCUUUGUUAUGGUGUUCUUUCGGGUUUAAGGAAUUUUUGAGGAGUGGAGGAUUUCUCUAGCGCUGUAGAAACGAUUGGGCCAUUCUCUUUCCUUCUUGACCGAAGGUAAUACUACUCACAGUCAAUGAUCUAAACUGGAAUAUGUUGUCGUGGGUUGGCAUUGGCUGAAUAUGCUUUUCCCUUGUUUGGGGUUUGCAUUUUCUUUAGCCUGAUAACUAUAAAUUCAACCCAUAUGUAUAAGCAAUCUUGAUUACUAAAUUCGCUUUAUAUGCAGAUAACUCUCAAGGAAGGUUGAGAUCCUAUUGUCAAGCGAUUGUUAAAUACCUUGUUUAAUGGUGCUCGUGGGCUGUUCGUAAGAGUUCGUAUUCAGGUGUGUAUUGUAUGCAGUAUUCGAUGAUCAGCUGAAAAGCCGAAACUGUGUGUGUAACUGUACACCGUAAAACAUUACUGUCGUAAAGCCGAAAAGCCAAAAAUACGGUGAUUGAGGCCAUAUGGGCGUGUGAACGCUCGUGUGGUGAAUCGAGCCCACGAAUACAGGUGUUAGACUAUUGAGGCCACCACGAGCGUUCUCGUGAUCUUGGGUCGUUAUGGGCCUCAUUGGGAUGAAAUGGGUCGUGUGGGCCCAAUGGGCUCGUGGGCCCCACACAGAUAAAAUCCAUGUUAAGUGGCAAAUACUAGAUUGGGCUAUAACGUUCACAUACCCGUGACUAAAUUUGGGCUAAAUGGGCCACACGAGCGUGUGGGCCCACUUGGGCCGAAUAUAGGCAUUGGGCCUAUUUCCACCCUUUUGACCAUUUAGGUUAUCUGAGUCACUCGAGGUGACUGUAGACCUUCAAAAAGGUUAUUAACUAACUGUAAUACCCCUAUAGGGUAAAAUGACCAUAAUGCCCCUAUAGGGUAAACUGACCGUAAAGCCCCUGAAAGUAAAUGACUAUUUUGCCCCUCGAGGUCAAAUGAUUGAAUUGUCUGUGGUUAAAUGAUUGAUUUUUAGGGUAAAAUGACCAUAAUGCCCCUUUAAGGUAAACUGACUGUAAUACCCCUGUAGGGUAAAAUGACUGUAAUACCCCUGUAGGGUAAACUGACCGUAAUGCCUCUGUAGGGUAAACUGACCAUAAUGCCCCCGUAGGGUAAACUGACCGUAAUGCCCCUGUGAGGUAAACUGACCGUAAUCCCCCUGUAGGGUAAAAUGACUGUAAUACCCCUGGAGGGUAAAUGACUAUUUUGCACCUCGAGGUCAAAUGAUUGAAUUAUCUGUGGUUAAAUGACUAAUUUGUCUGUGUUUGGUAUGACUGAUUUGUCUGUGAUUUGAAUGACUGAUUCUGAGCAUGGCAUUCUGCAUAGACGAAAUACUGCAUGGGGUUGGGAUACUAUUAUGGAGGAAGUACUGUUCUAGUGGCUCUGCCACAAUCACUGUUACUGGUGGCUUGGCCACAUAUACUAUUACUGGCAGCUUUGCUGCGAUACUGCUGCUGGCAGCUUUGCUGUGAUGCUACUGAUGGCUUUGUGCCAAUCAUAUUACCGUUACUAAUAGCUUUGUGCCGAUCAUAUUACCGUUACUGAUGAAUUUGUGCGAAUCAUAUUACCGUUACUGAUGGCUGUGUACCGGUCAUAUCACUACUACUAAAGGCUUUGUGCCAAUGAUAUUAUUGUACUUAUGGCUUGUAGCCAUUCUGUUUAUAGCUAUCUUGUUUACGGCUCUUAGCCAUGCUGACUACUGGCAGCUAUGUUGCGGCAUUGGUGUGAAGGCUGGGUAGGUCAACUCUGUCCCCACAUGGUGUGUUGGGUUGGUACGGGUAGUGUGAUGGCUGGAUUGGGAUGGGUUUGCAUACUUGCACCAUACUGGUACUGUAUCGGGCUUAGGCCCACACUGUUUUUGUUUUGGGCUAAAUCCCACACUAUACUGUUGCUGAAUAGGGCUCAGGCCCAGACUGUUACUGCAUGUUGUAUGUUAACUAUUUGAGAGGGGAUUACACACUGAGUUUUCUUAAACUCACCCUUUUUUAACCUUUCAAGUAAUCCCCAACGUUAGACAGUUAGGAAUUGCGAGGGACUCAGAAAGGGCCACACAACUGCAUAAGUUUUAUUCUGUUUUUCUCAUUUACUUAAGCAAUUUGGUUUUGAUUCAGGCUAUCAUAAGGCUUCUUUUAAUUUCUGGUCUUUAAUUUGGGAUUUGAUGUGAUUUAUAUCUGCUAGAAGUAGAACACAGGUUUCCAAAAUAAUAAAUUUUUUCAAAACACUACGCUUUCACAACUUAAUCUUUAAACAUCACAUUUUUGUAAAUCGGUUACUUUUAAAUUAAGCUUUCGCAACAAUAAGGUUUUGAAGGUAAUAACUUUUUAAUAAACCUCGAUUGAAAAUAAAAAAAACGUGAACUGAGGUUUUGUACAAGAUUUAAAUGGCAAGAAGUUUGAAAUUUCAAGAAGGCUUUUUAUUGAAAACAUGGUUUUUCGAAAAACUCUUCAAUGUGUCAUGCCAGAUUCGAGCCUAACUUCUAGGUCAGGUUUGGGGCAUUAUAGAUGUAGCAAAUUAAACUAGUUUUCGCAUUUAAGGAGCUUGAAUACAAGUAUUUUCAUUAUGUUUUAGUUAAGUUUUCUUAGUUUUAAUUACAUUCAAUAAAAUGUGCAAAUUAAGUCUUUUAUUAACCUUAAGGGCCGAAUAAGGCCUAAGAGUGAGCUAACACACUUUGUGAGUGUGCAACACAGAUGACUCGAUGUCACAACAUAGGGAACAAAAUGGAGAAAGCUCAAGUUUGCCUUUUAUUUGGCGACACAAACUAAGGGUGUUGCGACAUACCCUUGAAGAUAGCUGAAGAGGAGUAAAUUGAUUGCUAUGUCGCAACAUAGGUACUAGUGUGUCGCAACAACGACUCUGUGAUGGAAAUUAAAUACGAACUAGAAUAAUUUUGGUCUGCAUAAUCAAACCUAAAGCUUAGGAACAUCAGCUAACCUAGGGUUAAGGAUGACGGCCACCUGAAGGCUAUAAAUAGGCUCAUUUGUCACUUGUUAUGGACAUGAUUCCUUUAGCCUAAAUCCUCUUUGUAAAAUUUAGUUUAAUUUUCUUUCGUUCUUAGGGUUUAGAUUUCUAUCAUUUGUUCUUGUUGAUUUAAAGAGAUCUAAAUUGUGGAAGCAUUCAAACUUUAUGGAUUCACAAUUAAUUUGAAUACAAUCAUGCUAUUUCAUUUACUUUAUUUUGUUGAUUUAAUUAGCUUUCUUUCUCUUUAUAUCGAUUUCAUAUUGUCUAUGAAAGCCAUGAGGAACAAAUCCCUCUAUGGGGGGUUAGCGAGUGGAGGUAUGAUCUAUUAACUGUUUUGUAGGGUUACUCAACGAAUUAGCUGUUUGGGAAAGGAAGAACGUAAAAUAAACCCCAGACCUGACAACCUCAGGAAGUCAUCAAGGUGGGAAUUAACCCAAAAUUAGUAUUGCCCAUCCAUGAACACCUUCACCCCAAGUCAAUCUAGACCAUGAGGUCAGAAGAUAAGUAGUUCUUAUUGACUCAUUGUGUUAGUGGAAAAUCGAAAGAUUCUGCUAGGGUAGUGGCUAGUUGAUUGACGAGGAACCCGAAACAAAAGUUGACGGGGAUUACCGAAGCGAGCUAAUCACCCAUAAUCGAGAUUUGAAUAAUUUUACUUUUCUAUCUCUUGAGCUUUUAUUUCUUUUAUGUUAUUAUCUUUUAUUCUAAUUUUUUAUUAUAAAAACCCUUAAACAACCCUUUUUAUGUUUUUGUACUAUAACUGGUUUAAAGUACUAAUUAUAUCUUUUUAGUGUUUAGAUUAGAAUUGACCUAGCACUUGCCUCCCUUGGGUACGAUCCUCGGAGUACUCACCUACUCUGUUGUAAAAGUUAUAUUACAACUCGACCCAUAUACUUGCGGAUAUCACCUCAUAUUUCUAUAUCUUAUUGUAGUAUUCACACUCUGAACGUUAGUACAUCUGGAGGCAGUCAAGUUAUUGGAGCAGUUACUGGGGAGGCAACGUCAUUAGAUUGGUUUUAAUUUUUUCAUUCUAAAAGAAUAAUUAACACUUCUAACAUUUGUUUAUAUUUUAUGAAUCUUAAACACCAUCAACCAAAUAACUAGUCAACACAAAGUCAUGGAUGAAUUUUAUUAUAUGUGGUCUGAUGAAGACUUCGAUUAUGACGAAGAUAUUUACAAAGAAGGAGCCUAUGAAGAUUGAGAGAUCUAGGAGAAUCAACGAUUACUAAUGCUUGAAUUAAGUCAACUCCAAGGAGAAACCCCAGUUCUUCCCCAAGAUGAUAAUGACUACGAUGAUAUGCCAUCAAAAAAGUACCAAGAGGUGCUAAGUCCGAAAUUGAACAGAGAGGAGAAUGUCGUCAUAGACGCUUGCGAAGAAGAAGAACUCUCAGAUUAUUAUCCACUUUAGCAGACAGAAGAAUAUUCAAAUGAAUCAAAUGGGACUUCGGAAAGAGAAUAUAUGGAGCGAAUGGAAUAAAUGGAUAGUGAAUUUGAUAAGCUAUAAAAGUAACAUAUUUUAAUCUCAUUCUUAAUGCAUUUUUUGAUGACUAAUUAGGAAAAUUAGUGAAUUUGAUGCUCCCAAUCCUUUAAAUUCAUGUUUUUAUACUUAGGAGAGCAUUUAGGAGUGAAAAGCGUGAAAAAUCAGCCAAAAUCGGACAAAUAGAUCUGUUUUCAGGAGCCACAUUGCCUGGGCAUUUCCACACUGGCAGGAUAUGCGCCCAUAUGUGCCACACGGGCUGAACACACACCCAUGUGCCAACCCAUGUUGAUUUCGCACCCUACUUUCCAAAUACGUUAAAAAAAUUUUAGGUUUUCUGAGCAUUCUAAAUUCUAUAAAUACCUAUUAGAAGAAGAGAUAAGAGAGCCAUCUAAGAAGAUUGAAGAAAACACUCGAAGAACACCGUCAGAAUCAACUCAGAAGCGAAUCUUCAUCAAGAUCAAAGAUCUCCUUUUAAUUUCUUUCAAAGUUUUAUUGAGUUUCUUUAUGUCUUGUGGUUAUUCUAGCUUUUAGAUGUUUUCAUUUAGGAUUACGAAUUAAUUCCCUAGAUACCUAAGGAGGAUGAAACCUAUGAUGAAUCUUUUUAUUUAAUGUCUAUUUUACACGAUAAAUAUUUUAUUCUUGUUUUCAAUUAUGUAUGCUUAUUUCUUAUUUUAAUAUUUCUGAGAUAUUAAUUCAUGUUUAAUGUGCUUAAUUCAAUGGAGGAAAAGUCCCUGUUUAAGAGUAGAUCUAGCAUAAUUGAGUGGAGUUGCAUGCAAUCCUAGAAAUAAGACGACAUAAAUCUACCAAAUUAGAGUCAAAUCUAAUAGGGGAAUCCAUAAAUCGAGUUAAUGCGACGAUAGGGGUUUUCAUUAAAAAGAGAUUUUAAUUAGUCACCCUAGAGUCAGUUGUUUUUACUAUCGAAAGAGAUAUUAACAUAAUUUAGGGAUUUCUACGAAUCCAGACACAAGUGAAUAAAUCGUUUAAUUCAGAUUCAUAAUAAUAGAUGAAGUCUAGGUGGAUUCUUUCCUGGGUAUUGUCUAUCUCAAUGGUUAAUAUUCGAUUAUUUCCUUGAUCCAUUCCUUGUUGCGUUAUUAGUUAAAUUAGUUUAGUAAAUUUAAAUUAAAACGCAUCAUUCCAAAUUAUCGACUAAAUAAUAGAAAAACAGUAAUUAAUAAUACCUAUAGUCCUCGUGGAUACGAUAUUUUCUACUCACCAUAGCUAUACUAUUGUUCAAUUGUUGCACUUGCCUUUGUCGUAUUUAUAAUUAGUUUAGUGACCAUCAGAAUCAAAUAAUCAAGUAGACAAGGAACCCAUCAUCUUAGAAAUCUCAGGUAAUAUCGACGAAACUGAACUAAAAGAAUAAUUUAAUAUAGACCGACCAACAAAGACAAUGAUAGUUAGGACAGAGUUAAUAAAAGAAUGCCUAACGAUUUGAAAUUCACAAACAAAAAGAAGCAAAACCAGCAGUCCCAGAGGAUAAACUUGAAUUGACCAGCCUCUUCACAUCCUUAGAUAUAAAUUAAGCACCCGAGAAGUUUAUAGAUCCAAGAAUUUGCCAGAUGUUGAAAAGAGUGGGAAAAAUAUAUAUUGACAGAACAUAUGAUCAUAUAGCAAGUUUCAAUCAAAUUAAACAAUCAAUGUGUAUAAGCAUUGAGCUUCAACCAUUACAGAGUGUUCGAUUCUUAUGAGAACCAUUAAAGGGAAUUAUCUACAGGCCGAUGGAUGAAUUUAAAAGUCGACAGAAGCACAACUUCAAUAGCGCAAUUCAAUAAUUUAUCCCUAUCCCUCUACGAAUCGCCUUAAAAUGUACUCUUGAAAAGCCAUACCUGAUCAAUGAGAAUGACAGAAACACUAUAGAAAAUAAUUGGAACCGUGAUUCUCAACAUUUUUCAAAAGCAUGAAUGCUAAACACCGAUUAAAGCAGUUGUCUGGGUAUGUGGCUUUGCAAAUCAAUAAUAGUUAUGACCUACAAAAAGAGUUGUCGGUCGUUAAAGCAAGCCGAAAAGGUAAAUUCAAAGAAAGAGACAACCAAAGAUGAAUAAAAUGGCAUGAUGGGUGUUGGACUAAUACAAAUAGAAACAAAUCACAAAAAUUACCCCGGUGCAUAUUGACUGAGCUGACGGACGAGUUCGGCAGCAAAACCUAACAUUUUUUCAUUGUUUGAUUAUUACUGUAAUAGCCCGUUUUUAGAUGUACUGGUAGCAAUAAAAUGUAUGAAGAUUUGAAACAAAUGUUCUAGUGGCCAGGUAUGAGACUCGAGAUUUCAGAGUUUGUAUCGAAAUGUUUGAUUUGUUAGCAAGUUAAAGCCAAGCAUCAGGUACCUUCUGUUUCAUUACAACCUCUGAUGAUUCCAGAGUGGAAAUGGUAACAUGUUAUAAUGGAUUUUGUAUCGGGAUUGCCUCUAUCUCCGAGAAAGAAAGAUACUAUCUAGGUUAUUGUAGAUCGUUUGACGAAAUCCGUGUAUUUUAUUCCAUUGUGCACGGAUUAUUCACUUGAAAUCCGUGUAUUUUAUCUAGAUUAUUGUAUGUUUCUGAGAUUGUUAGACUACAUGGUGUACCAUUUUCUAUUACCUCUAAUAAGGAUCCAUGGUUUACUUCUCAAUUCUGGAGUAAAUUACAUAAAGCUCUGGGCACUCGACUGCAUUUCAGUACAGCAUUUCAUCGACAAAAUAAUGGUCAAUCUGAGUGAGUGAUUUAUAUACUUGAAGAUAUGCUACGAUGUUGUGUUUUAGAGUUCAAAGGUAACUGGGAGAAAUAUCUUUUAUUGGUUGAAUUUGCAUACAAUAAAAAUUAUCAAACGAGCAUUAAAAUGGCACCGUACGAAGCUUUGUAUAGUCUAAAAUGUAGAACUCUAUUAUAUUGGACUGAUCUGAGCAAGAAAAAUUUAUUCGGUGUUGAUUGAAUUAAAGAAACCGAAGAAAAGGUCAAAGUGAUACGAGGCAGUUUAAAGACUGCUUCUAAUCGUUAGAAAUCUUACGUGGAUUUGAAAAGAAAAGAUAUAGAACUUCAAGUCGACGACAAAGUAUUUCUAAAAGUAUCACCUUAAAGAAAAGUUAUCCGUAUUAGCCGAAAAGGAAGCUUAGUCCACGAUUCAUCAGGCAGUAUGAGAUCAUCGAGAGGAUUGGACUAGUGGCUUAUCGAUUGGCAGUAUGAGACCAUCGAGAGGAUUGGACUAGUGGCCAAAAAUUCAUAACGUGUUCCAUGUUCGAUGUUACGAUGGUAUCAAUCAGAUCCUUCACACGUAAUAUCACUUGUGGAUGUUGAGAUUCAACUAGAUAUGUCAUACAGUGAAGAGCCGAUCAGGAUUUUAGCUGGGGAAGUUAAAUAGUUGAGAAAUAAAAGUUUAGCUUUAGUUAAAGUUCUCUGGCAACAUCACAGAAUCGAAACAUCUGCCUGGGAACUAGAAGAAGCUAUGAAAGUGCAAUACAUGAACCUAUUUUUUGGUAAGAUUUUUCAGAGGCGAAAAUUCCUUUAGGGUGAAAGUUCUAAAAACCCGUUUUUAGUGAUGUCGAAAACAGUGGUUUUGGGACCACAAUUCUAAUGAGUAACUUAUUUUUUUAUUUUUUAUUUAGUGUUUACGGGAUAUUAGUAUUAAAGUUUCGUUAAGAAAUUUUGAUGUUUGAAUGAUUAAUUAAGUAAAAAGGACUAAAUCGUAAAAGGUAUAAAAUUUAAGUUCUAGGAGUUAAAAGGGCUAAAAGAUUAUGGAAUGGAAAUAAAAUGGAUUUAAAUGGUAAUUAAACCAUUUGAUGAAUUAGGGGAUAGUUAUGGAUAUGAAAUUAUGAUAAAUUUUAAAGGUUAAAAUGGUAAAUAAAGCUAAAAUAACUAAGAAAUUUGUUCAUCUUCUUCAUUUUCACACUUUACCACUGAAAAUCACCAUUGAAGGAUUGGGUUAGGUUCAGCCAAGCUCUCUUUGGUGCAUGUAAGUGAUUUCAAGCCCCAUUUUUAAUGACUUUUAUGUUUUUGAGUCUGUUUUAGCUUAAUCUAGCGAACUCGAGGGUUAAUUUGCAAGUUUUUUAAAGGUUGAGGGUCUUUUCAUGAAUAUUUUUGAAUGAUUUUUUAUGUUAUUUUAUAUAUUAUGAAUCUUGGUUGAAAAAUAAACAAGUUUUGUUAAGUGGUUUUUGAUAAAAAUGGCAAUUAGGGAUUAACUUGUUAAAAUGUGAAACUAUAGGUUUUAUUGUGAAAUGGUGGUAAAUAUAAGUUAUUUCAAGGUCCCUUCUAUAUGUGAUUAAUUUGGAUUUAAGUUACAAUGGUUAAAUUGCAAGAUAUGGACUUAGGGACUAAAUUGUAAAAAGUUAAAAUGUUAGGGGCAAAUUGAUAAUUUUGCAUAAAUAUGAAAUGUGAAUUAAAUUGAGCACUAGAAAUAUUUAAUUUAUUGAAAAUACCUAUUUAGAUCAAGAUAAACCACGUUCGAACUUAGAUCGAGGAAAAGCUAAAGCUUUAGAUUAAUUCGAUCUAACUUUUAUGCCCCUAGUCAUCAAGGUAAAUUCGUAUGAACUGUAUUCGGUUUAAUGUUGUUUAAAUUGAAUCAUCAUUGUGUUGUUUUAAUGUCAAUCCAUCAAUAUAAAAAUGUAUCAAUGCUAUGAUGAAUUGACAAAAAUAGAGUCCCGGUUGAACCUUAAGAAUUCUUAGGAUACAAAUGACAUGUCAUUAGGGAUUUAAUGUUUCGGGUGCUGGUCUUGAAUGUCCUACCAAUGGCUGAGGUCCUGCAUUUGUUGCGGAUACUCUACAGCUUGUGUGAGCAGCAUCGUGUAGCUUACAUUCCGACCCACAACUCGUGUAAGCAGGCCCAUUUCACAGCUCGUGUGAUCAAUGAUGGAAAGGAAAUGUUAUGGUUAUAUGUAAAGGCACACUUUGUGUGAGCUUUCCCGAGUAUCCAAUGAAAUUCUAGAUGGUUCAACAAGCAAGAAAAGGGAACGGAAUGGUAAGUAUGAAAUUGAAAUGAAUCAUGACAUUAUGGUACAUUGAUGAACCAAAAUGUUAUGUUUAUACAUGGUAAACCACAUAUCUUAUGGUUGAUUAUAUAUAUAUCAUGAUCAAGGAUACUAACUUAUGAGUUUUAUGAUGUUGCAUAGGCUCAUACUAAGCUUAUGGCAUUGGUGUUGAGUUAUGUUUAAUCUAUGAAUUGUUUAAUAGAAAUAGUAAGUUGUGAUUAAGUUUAUACGAGCUUACUAAGCCCCAUUGCUUACGUAGUUUCCUUUCCUUUGUUUUAUAGAUCAUCAAGAGCUUGAUUUGGUUGGAAACUCGUUAGAGACCUAUCACACUAUCGAGCAGUUGAUUUGGUAGUUUUUGAGCAUUUUGGCCAAGGUUUAUAAUGGCAUGUAUAGGGUGGUUAUAAUUGUGUUUUGAUGAAUAUGUAGAUGGUAAUUUGGUAUGUUUGUGCCUUGAUGUUUAUAAAUGGUUGAUGUUUAAGUAAGUCCUUUUGGUCACUUUGUGGUGACUAGUGUAUAUGGCAUUUUGGGUAUAAGAUGUUGGUGUAGAAAUAGUCAUUUAUGGUGUGUUUUAAGCACAUAAUAGAGUGAGGUAUUUAUGCAUUGAAAUAGGUAAGGUUAUCAUGUUUAGGUAAGUGAUGUUUGGAUAUAAUUGCAGUGCCUUUGAAGGGCAUAUUGGUUAAUUGAAUUAGGGCCUUUGAAAUGGUAACUUUAUGUAUGUUUGAAUGGUGUUUAUGUCCUUCGGAAGUGUGAACAAUUGGAAUGAAUGUUUAUGCGUAGUUAGGGUAUGAAAUGGCUUGAUUACAGGUAAAUUUUAGGUUCACAGAGUUUAGCACAUGAGCGUGUGACACAGUCGUGUGAGGCACACAACCUGGCGACAUAGUCGUGUGUCAUUUGAGAGUUCCUUUGUAUUCAAGUCAGUGAGUUUCACAACUUAACACACGACCUAGCACACGGGCUUGUGGGGCAAUUCAAAGAGUUACACGGCCUGGCACACUAGUGUGUAACACAGCUAUGUAACCCUACUUAGAGAGGUACACGUGAGAGGACACAGGCUAAGACACGACCGUGUGUCCCUUGUUCAGAUAUUACACUGUCUAGGGUGAUUCUAACGGCCGGGGGUGAUUCCGCAUGACCUGGCCAGACAGCCGUGUAACCCCUAUUUUUAAAUUUCGCUAAUUUUUUCCUAAAUUUCCUGUUUUGUUUCAAAACAGUCCCAAAUUGUUCCUAAGCUAUUUUUAGGGCCUUAAGGGCUCGAUUUAGGGAUGAAAUGUAUGAGAAUGAAUGGUUUUGUGAUAUAUUUAAAUUAUUGAAUGCUAUGACGUUUUAAGGUUUCCAGUUGAUCGGUAAUAUUCCGUAACCCUAAUCCGGUGACGAAUAUGGGAAACAAGUGCUUGAAGCGUUCUGAAGAUUGGAAAUUUGGGAAACAAGUUCAACGUCGGGAUACAGACAAUUUUGUGUCACAACAUCAUAAGCAGAAACGAAAAAAGUUCAAAAAUCAACUCGAUGUCACGAUAUCACUAACCUGUGUCACAACAUAGAAGACAGUUUCUCAGAAUUUCAAAACUGCAAGGUGUGUCACGACAUCGAGUCCUAGUGUCGCGACAUGAAGUAGUCUGCUAAGGAUGUCGCGACACGGAACCCCUAUGUCGCGACAUCGCGGCAAUUGUCUGCAGUCUCAACCUGACCCAAUUGCAUAACCGGCUAUUUUAACCCUUCAUUUACCUAGUUUUUAACACUUAAAACCUUUGUUUUAACCCUAAAAACACAUCAACCUCAUACUCUAAACCUUUUUAAACCAUUAACUUCUUCUAUAAACCUUAAAACCUUAAAACCCUUUUUCCAUUUUAAACCUUAAAACACAUCAACCUCUCAUUAUAAUCUUUCAAGCUUUAUUUGGAGUAUUCAUCAAGUCCUUGGAGGAGUAACAAAAGUAUUUUCCAAGAAGUUGAGGUUAAGUAAUCCUUUCUUCAUACUACUAUUAUAUUAUUCACUAUUUUGUAAGAAAUUUCGAUUAUAAAAUGCCUCCUAGAAAGAACAAGAUAACUAUGGUUCAAGAAACAUCGAGGGUUUCGGACUCAUCUCGAUUUCAUAAUGUUAAUAUGGAAAAUUAUUUUCUUGAGUUGCAAGGGAGACCAUUGAUCCAAGAAUGAGGGUUUGAACCCUUCAUGGUCAACUGUAACGAAAUUUAGACUUUGGUUUGUUACCAUCAAUAGGACCAGUUCUGCAUUACUCCCAUGAAUAAUGCAAUCAUACCUGUGGUUCAAGAAUUUUAUGUGUCCCUUAAGGAUCAAGUGAUUAAACGAGGCUAUAAUGCAGUGAUAACUGAUGUUGAAGUAAGAGGGGAAGAUGUUCCAAUCUCCCGUAAUGAUAUUUGUGAAUUUUAUAACAUUCCAUUUUAUGAAAAAGAUUUUAUUAAUACUACUGAUUUAGAAAAUUUUCAAAAUAUCAACAUGGAAGAUGUUAUAAAAUAUUUAACACAAGGUAGGGUAGUUGGAACUACAGGCCAGACUCAGAGCUUCCAACGAAUUUCAAUUGGGCCAUUAUGUUUCCUGUUACUAAGAUGUGGAUGCAAUUCAUUGGCACUAUAAUUUCACCCAUGUUGAAUGUUUCUAACAUUAACGUCUUUCGAGCUAUUUUGUUAUAUGGUAUUCUACAGCAUAAAUAGAUCUGUGUAGGGCGCUAGAUCUUUCAAGAAAUGAAACGGUGUGCACAGAGACAGAAAGUUGGACUCUUCUUCCCCCAUCUCGUAACAAUAGUAUGUCACUAGAAAGAAGUGUCAAUGAGUGUAAACGACUGCCCGUCGGUUUGCGAAUGAAAUGCAGUACUGAAACUAAGCUGUGUACCCAAAAACUCAUGUAAUUGCCUCCAAAAUCUCAAUGUCAACCGAGGAUCCCGAUCUGAGAUUAUCGAUAUCGGAAUAUCAUGCAAUCUCACAAUCUCUCAGAUAUAUACUUCAGCUAGUUUCUACAAUGACCAAUCAGUUUUGACUACUAUGAAGUGUGCUGACUUGGUAAGUCUAUCAACUAUCACCCAAAUGGAAUUCUUCUUACUUGCUGAAAAUGGUAAUCCUGUAACAAAAUCCACUGUGAUACGAUCCCAUUUCCACUCCGGAAUACUGAUAGGUUGAAGCAGAUCUGUCGGUACCUGAUGUUUCUCUUUGACCUGCUGAAAUGUCAAACAUUUACCAACAUACUCGACCAUAGCCCUUUUCAUUCCUGGCCACCAGUAUAGUUCUCGUAAAUUCAGAUACAUUUUCGUUCCACCAGGGUGCAAUGCGAAAGGGUUACCUUGUGCUUCUCGAAGAAUCAACUCUUUAAGCUCAAAAGUAGUUGGAAUACAAAUCUGAUUUUAGAAUCUCAAACAAUCAUAAUCAUCAACACUAAAAAUAUUUUUCGGGCCAUUCUGUGCAAUCUCUCUCUUUUUUAACAACCUAUCAUCUUCCAACUGUGCCGAUCUAAUCAAACAUUACCAGCUUUACUCUCAACUUGACCAAAAGACUCCCAUUAUCACUGAUAUAGAGCCGUGCAAACAUUGUUCUUAAUUCUAUUGCAGCUUUUCUACUUAGUGCAUUACCUAUAAUGUUUGCCUUUUCCAAAUGAUAAUCUAUGACAUAAUCAUAAUCUUUCAGAAGCUCAAUCCACCGUCAUUGUCUAAAAUUCAACUCCUUUUAUGAUAGAAGGUAUUUGAGAUUUUUAUGAUCGGUAUAUAUAUAACAUUUUUCACCAUAAAGAUAAUGCCUCCAAAUCUUUAAUGCAAAAAUUACAGCAGCUAGCUCCAAAUCAUGAGUCGGAUAGUUACGCUCGUGUGGUUUUAAUUAUCGAGAUGCAUAGGCUAUUACCUUCCCGUCCGGCAUCAACACACAACCCAGACCAUUUAAAGAAGCAUCACUAUAUACUACAAAAUCCUUACCCGAUUCUGGUAAUGUCAGAACUGGUGCCUCAAUUGACAUUUGCCUCAAUGUUUCAAAACUUCUCUGGCACUGAUCAUCCCAGAUAAAAGGAACAUUCUUUUGUAGUAACUUGGUCAUCGGCAAAGCUAUCUUCGAAAAUUCAUUCACAAAUCUUUUGUAAUACCCAGCUAAACCAAGAAAACUGCAUACCUCAGAUACAUUCUUCGGUGCUUUCCACUGAACAAUUGCUUCAAUCUUCUUCGGAUCAACUCUGAUUCUAUCUGUCGAUACCACAUGUCCCAAAAAUACAACUUCUGAUAACCAGAACUCGCAUUUGCUGAGCUUUCCAUAUAGCUGCUUUUCCCGUGAAUCUGUAGCAUAAUCUUGAGAUGCUGAUCAUGUUCUGACUCUGACUUUGAAUAGACCAAUAUAUCAUCAAUGAAGAAUACCACAAAUUGAUCCAAAUAUGGAUGGAAAAUAUAGUUUAUUAAAUCCAUAAAAGCAGUUGGAGCAUUAGCUAACCCGAACAGCAUCACCAAAAAUUCAUAAUGACCAUACCGAGUACAAAAUGCAGUCUUUGGCACAUCACUUUCUUUUACCUUCAACUGAUAAUAUCUGAAUCUCAAGCCAAUUUUUGAAAAUACUAAGGCUCCCUUCAAUUGAUCAAACAAAUCGUCGAUGCAAGGCAAUGCAUACUUAUUUUUAAUUGUUACCUUGUUCAACUGCCGAUAAUCAAUACAUAAUCGCACUGAUCCAUCUUUCUUCUUAACGAAUAAUACCGGAGCUCCCUACGGUGAUAUGCUUGGUUGAAUAAAGCCACGGUCUAACAAAUCCUGUAAUUGUAUUUUUGUAAUACCCCCUAACCCCAAACCGUCACCGAAACAAGGUUACGAGGCAUUACCAGUCAUUUCGGGUAAUUUACAAAUAAUUCUUAAAUAAAUAACAAACAUAUAUAAAAGAAUCAUAAAUUCAUAUAAAUUUAUACUACUUGGCUUCAUUUUUUCAAUUUAUUAUUCAAUAUAACCUCUUUAUAAUGAUUGAACCUUCCCUGCAAAUUUCAAAUCGCAACCAAACCAAUUCCAGUAUUCAACCAAUACAUUUAUAUACUCAAAUAUACUUAAAUCAUACUUGACAUAUUGACCUAACAACUUAAUUAAUGAAAACCCUAUUAACAUUUCUAAUUAGUUCAUCAACUAUUCAAGCCAUUCCAAUUCAAUACCAAUGCCAUAAACAAUUUCUACCAUUUUACUAAUUUAAUCAUCAAAACACCAAAUAUCUUUCUUUACAACAAAAUUAUAUAACAUACUAAAAUAACCAUUAUAAUCCCUAUGUACAUGCCACUUUCACUUAAAGGAAGAAAACAUCACCAAAAUCUUUAUGUUGGAGUUGGUAUUGUCCUGGAUGCUGAACCGAGACUCUGACUCCUUUUUAACCUGCGUACGGAAACAACCGUACGCUGAGUAUUUUAUACUCAGUGGUAUUACCAUAAUUCAAAUUAUAAUAGCAAUAAAGAAAUAGAAUUACCAAGCAUGUAACUAUCCAUCUUCUUAAUUAUCAAUUAAUUCUUAAACUUUCAUCAAUUAACAAUAACAAUAAAAUUUAUAGCUAUUCUUCAAUUUCAAUCACAUAUCACAUGUAACAAUUUCAAUCACUACUUGAACAUUAAGUUCAUGCCUUUUGUUUUCAAUCUCAAUUUCAAUCCACAAUUUUAAAUUUCCUCAUAUUCAAUACUACAAUCGAUCAAAUUCAUUUAAUUUUCUCAUUUCAAUUAUUCACCCUAUUAACAAUCUGGACUUUGACGGAUACACAGAUUCCAACCCAAAAACACCAGUACGGCACAUUGUGCCUAAAAUGGUACAUAGUACCUGAUCAGUAUACGACACAUAAGUGCCUGAAACGACACACGAUGUAACACCCCUAACCCGUAUUCGUCGCCGAAUUAGGGUUACGAGGCAUUACCAAACAAACAUACAUAUAUUAUAUAUAUAUAUAUAUAUUUAAAAAUAAUACGCUUGGUCUAAUAUAAAACAAAAUGCAAAAUUUUAAACUUCUCUCUUCUAACCAUUUUUAAAUUAAAAAAAACAUUAAAAUCUAACUAACUAACAAAUCCAUAAGAAAAUAAACCAUUUUAGUAUGCCUAUUAUAAUCAUAUACAAUACAACAAAAUACAACCUUCAAAACAUUUAUCUAGUCUAUACAUGCCAUAGUUAGAAUUUAAUAUUUUAAAUACCAAAAUAAUAGAUAGGGUGAUGAACUUGCUGACAAUCCCUGAGCUUGAAGCUUGAUCUUUAAGUCUAUAAAAUAGGAAGACAUAAGUAAACAAAGUAAGCUUUUAUAGCUUAGUAAGUCUAUAGCAUAACUACAAAUAUAUAUAUAUAUAAAUAUAUAUAAAAAUUAUAGAAUUUCCUGAUACACUAAAUGAAUUCACAAACACUGUGUAUAUUAACAAAUACUUAUAGAUAAAUGCAUACAUAAUUAUCAACAAUUUAAACUGAAUGUAUAUACACAUUUACGUAAAUAUUCGAUUGCAUAUAUAUAUAAACAUAUGUUUAACAAUUUUUAUAACCGAAUGUGUAUACAUCUUUAUUACCUGCAUACAUCCGAAUGCACAUAUAUACCAAUCACAUUAUAUAAUCGUUUGUAUAUAUAUAUAUAUACUCAUUAUAAAUUUAUACCUGAAUGCAUAGCUAAUAUCUACAUUCGAAUAUAUAUAUAUAUUCUUCAUAUACAUAUAAAUGAGAACAUUUAUAUAUAUAUAUAUAUAUAUAUAUCUCAAAUGCAUACAUAAAUAAUUAUCAAACACAUAGGCUCAAUAUAUAUAUAUUUAACAACCGCAUAUCACCAUAUGUAAUUAUAAAUUCAACAAUCGCAUAUUACCUAAUAUACAUAUGCUUUUAUUAAUUGUAUAUACCGAAAGCAUACAAUUAUAUUUAGCCAAUGCAAAACCCGAAUGUAGGUGUAUACUUACCAAGUAUGUACAAACUGAAUGUUUAUGUAUUCAUCAAUUUCAUAUAAUCAAAAUCAUAGAUAUAUCAAUUGCAUAUUCUCACAUAAUUUAAACAAAUUCACCGGCACUUAGCCUGCUAGGUUUUAAAACCUGAUUCAGUACACCGGCUCUUAGCCUACUAGACCUAUAGUCCGAAAUGUAUCACCGGCAUUAAGCCUGCUAGACGUAAAAUCUGAAUUAUUUCAUCAGCAUUAAGCCUGCUAGGCACAUAGCCUGAAUAACUGAGAUACAAAGUUAAUCUUUCAUAUAAAUCUUUAUAAUACACAUAAAUCUUUCUCAAUAACUAUAUCUCGAUAAGAAUUGUUUUAUAUUCAACUCUUCAUAGCAACCUCACAUUCGAACCACAUAUACAUGAUUCAUAACAUUAAAUUCAACUCAAGAAACUCAAAUCCUAUUUUCGAUUCACAUGUAUAAUUAUAUAUAAUUAUUAACAUUAAAUUCAGCUCAAAGAAACUUUUAUCUUACAUUCUAACCUCUUUUAUAUAUAUAUAUAUAUAUUUCAUAACAUUACAUUNNNNNNNNNNNNNNNNNNNNNNNNNNNNNNNNNNNNNNNNNNNNNNNNNNNNNNNNNNNNNNNNNNNNNNNNNNNNNNNNNNNNNNNNNNNNNNNNNNNNUGCAUCAUUUAUUCGAACCACAUACAUACAUACAAUUUAUAUCAUUAAAUUCAACUCAAAGAAUUUGUAUUAUACAUUCGAACAUCAUCAUAUAUUUAUAUAAUUUAUGCUAUUAAUUUCAUCUUAUUAAAAUCAAACAUGCAUGAUAUAACAUAUACAAUAUUUGUAAAAUAAAAUUUCAACCUACCAAUUUCAACUUGUAUAUUCGGCUAACAAUAUGAAAAUAACAAAGUUAAUUCAACUUAUUAAAUGAAUGAUAGAUUUCAAUAUAUAUAUAUAUAUAUAUUCUAGUUUAAUAACAUUAUUUUCUUAAUAGACUUACCUCGGAUGUCGUCGACCAUUAAAUCAGCUAUUCGACCACCUUUGUCUUUCCCCGAUCCAAAUCUGUUUUCUUUAAUUCUUGAUCUAAACAUAUUCAAUUUAAGCUUAUUUCAACACCAUUCUAUUCAAUUUAGCCUAAAAACACAUAAAUGGGCAAAUUACAAUUUUUCCCCAACAUUUCACACUUUUUACAAUUUAGUUCUUUUUGCUCAAAACACAAAAUACACAAAAUUUGACUACACUCCUUUAGGGCUGAAUAUUCCUAGUAUCUUUACAAGCCCACACAUUUCAUUUAUUUCACAUUUUAACCCCUCAAAAAUUUAUUUUUAUAAUUUAACCCUAAUUACUCAAAUUCAUCAAAAAUUCAAAGACAAAACAUAUUACUCUUUCACAUAUCUUUCAUAUUUCAUCAUCACCUAUCACAAAGGUCAAGCAUUCAUCAAUGGUACAUUUCAAAAUCAUCAACAAUUCAUAAAAUUAAGGCAUGGGUUUUAAAGUAUUCGAAGCAACGAUCUCAAAAACGUAAAAAUUAUCGAAAACCGAACAAAAACGAACCUUGAAUUUAAGCUUGAAUAUGGCCGAAACUUGACUAAGCUUUAAUGGCUUUCUUCCUUCUUGGUUUCGGCUAAGAAAGAUGAUAAUAAUCUAAUGUUUUUAUGCUUUUAACUAUCUUAUAUUAUAAUAUUUGUUAAUUACUAAUUUAGCCUUAUUUAAAUAAAUAUAACUUAUAUAUAUAAUAAGGUUAGUUUUGUCCUUAGCCAUCCACUAACUAUUUAGUGGUCUAAUUGCAUGUUUAAACCUUCCAAAUAAAAAGACAACAAAAAAUAGAUACUUUUAGCUUUAACCCCUAAAUUUUUAUUUUUACGCGAUUAAGUCCUUUUUAUUUAAUCAGUUACUCAAACAACAAAAUUUAAACACGAAAAUUUCACACAAUCAAAUUCACACAUAGUAAACUCCCAAAGUAAUAUUAAAAUAUUUUUUGACUCAAAUUUGUGGUCCCGAAACCAUUAUGUCCGAUUAGGGUCGAAAUCGGGCUGUUACAACUCUUCCCCCCUAAAGGAAUUUUCGUCCGCGAAAAUCUUACCAGUGAAUAGGUUUGGGUAACAUUCUUUCAUUGUAUCCUCUUGUUCCCAAGUUGCUUCUUCAACUCUGUGUUUAUGCCACAGUACUUUUACUAACAGAAUUUUCUUAUUUCGUAACUCUUUAACUUCACGAGCCAGAAUGGAAUUGGUUCUUCUUUGUAUGAUAUAUCGGACUUAAUUUCAAUCUCUUUCGGGCUAACCACAUGUGAAGGAUCGAAUUGAUAUUUACGAUGCAUCGAAACAUGAAAUACAUUGUGAAUCUUUUCUAGCUUAGGUGGCAACAAUAAUCUAUAAGCAAACAGUCCGAUACGUUCUAUAACCUCAUACGGUCCAAUGAAUCUCGGACUCAAUUUGCCUUUACGAUUGAAUCUGAGUAUUUUUCUUCCACGGUGAAACUUUCAGAAACACUUUGUCCCCGAUUUUAAACUCUAUAUCUUUUCUUUUCAAGUCUGCAUGCAAUUUCUGACGAUCCGAUGCUGUUUUCAAACUAUUCUAAAUCACUUUCACUUUUUGCUCGGUCUCUUUAAUCAAAUCAACCUUGUAUAUUUUAUUUUCACUGAGCUCCGAACAAUACAAUGGUGUACGGCAUUUAUGACCAUACAAAGCCUCAUAAGGUGCCAUUUUGAUGCUAGACUAAAAGCUAUUAUUAUACGCAAAUUCAAUCAAGGGCAAGUAUUGUUCCUAUGUACCCUCAAACUCGAGAAUACAACAUCUCAACAUAUCCUCAAGUAUCUGAAUGAUUCGUUUGAACUGACCAUCUAUUUGCGGAUGGAAAGUUGUGCUAAAGUGUACUUUCGUACCUAAAGCAUCUUGCAGUUUCUUCCAAAACCACGAUGUAAACCUCGGGUCUCUAUCCGAAACAAUAGAAAUAGGUACACUAUGUAAUCUCACAAUCUGAGAAACAUAUAACUCAGCUAAUUUAUCAAGUGAAUAAUCUGUGCGAACCGGAAAAAAAAUGUGCCGAUUUAGUUAAUCUAUCCACAAUAACCCAAAUUGCAUCUUUCUUGCUCGGUGUUAACGGUAAACCAGAUACAAAAUCCAUUGUGUCUCUGUCCCAUUUCCAUUCAGGUAUCAUGAUCGGCUGAAGCAAUCCAAAAGGUACUUGAUGCUUGGUUCUUACUUGCUAACAUAUUAAACACUUUGAAAUAAAGUUAGAAAUGUCUUGUUUCAUACCGCGCCACCCAUAGUGUUGUUUUAGAUCAUUAUACAUUUCUGUUUCGUUUCUUCUUUUGUUUCUUUUAUUCUUUUAUUUUAUUUCUUUUAUGUAUUAGUUAAUAAUAAUAUAAUAAUAUUUAAUUCACAAAUAUCUUUUACUUAAAUUAUAAGAAAAUAUUUUAUUUUAUUACAAGUGUGUUUUUAUUUAUUUUACACAUGUAUUAUUUUAUCACCAUACAAUUGUCUUCAUCUAAUUUAUUUCCUAUAAUAUAAUAUCCUAACUUUAAUUAAUAUAAUUUAUAAUAUUUUAAUUAAAUAAUAUUUUUAUAAUAUAAAUCAAGAAAAAUCUAAGAUUUUUUCAUGUAUUGCCGCCUAAUCUUAAGCCAUUGGCUUAUUUACCUAUUUGGUCCCUAUUUCUUCUUUCUAUUCUACAAUUAAACUUUUAACCUUUAUUCACUUUAGUCUCUUCUUACUAAUUACUCUAAAUUGGGAUAAAUUUAGUUAAUUAAAACAUAAUUAAACAAACCACUAGACUCAUAAAUAUUUCUAAUAAUUAUCUACAGGUUCAAUUUUCUAAUACGGAGGCCUAAUACUACUCUUUUUCGAUGCCCAUGAAUUUUGGGUCAUUACAUUGACGAAAUUUACCUAAGAAAAGAUGAGGAUAUUGUGCUUUCAUCGUCUCUUCCGAUUCCCAAGUCGCUUCUUCUACACUAUGACUUCUCCAUAAAACUUUUACUAAAGGAAACCGUUUAUUUCUUAAUUCUUUCACUUCUCGUGCUAAUAUCUGAACCGGCUCUUCUUCAUAAGUCAAAUUAGAUUGAAUUUCAAUGUCUUCAAUGGGAAUAACAUGAGAAGGAUUUGAUCUAUAUCUCCAUAGCAUCGAAACAUGAAAAACAUCAUGAAUUUUCUGUAAUUCUGGAGGUAAAGCCAAUUGAUAGGCAACCGGUCCGAUUCUUUCCACAAUCUCAUACGGCUCAAUAAAACGUGGACUCAAUUUUCCCUUCCGACCAAAUCUCAAUUUUUUUUCCACGGAGAAACCUUAAGAAAUAAUUUGUCCCCGAUUGAAUAUUCAAUGUCUCGAUGUUUUAAAUCAGCAUAAGAUAUUUGUCUGUCAAAGGCAUCUUUCAGUCUAUCUUUAAUCUUUUUAACUGUUUCCUCUGUCUCUUGAAUUAAUUUCGGCCCAAUCACUUUUCUUUCUUUUAAUUCUGUCCAACAUACUAGUGAUCGACACCUUCGACCAUAAAGUGCUUCAUACGGAGCCAUCUGAAUACUAGAUUGGAAACUAUUAUUAAAAACAAAUUCUGCUGUGGCAGAUAUCGUUCCCAACCUCACGCAAAGUCGAUGAUACAAGCUCUCAACAUAUCUUCCAAAAUCUGAAUUACCCGCUCGGAUUGUUCGCCAGGUUUUGGAUGAAAUGCAAUACUAAAAUUGAGUCGAGUUCCCAAUGACUCAUGUAAUUGCUUCCAAAAUCUCGAUGUAAACCAAGGGUCCUGAUCUAAAAUUAUCGAUACUGGAAUACCAUGUAAUCUAAAAAUUUCCCGAAUAUAAACCUCGACAAGCUUUUGUAUUGACCAAUCGGUUCUAACUGCUAUAAAAUGAGCUGACUUUGUGAGUCGAUCGAUAAUCACCCAGAUGGCAUUCUUUUUACUCACUGACAAUGGCAAUCCCGUAACAAAAUCCAUGGUAAUGCAAUCCCAUUUCCACUUGGGGAUAGUAAUAGGCUGUAACAAACCUGUUGGUACCUGAUGUUCUGCUUUUACUCGCUAACAACUCAAACAUUUACCGAGAUAUUCAACUAUAUUUUUCUUCAUUCUUGGCCACCAAUGUAGUUCUCGUAGAUCAUGAUACAUCUUCAUUCCACCAAGGUGCAAAGCAAAAUUACUAUCAUGUGCUUCUCGGAGAAUUAGCUCUUUAAUCUCAGAAGUAGCUGGGAUACAAAUCCGAUUCCAAAACCUUAAACAAUCAUGCUUAUCAAUACUAAAAUUUUCCAUCGUACCAUGCUGUACCAUUUCCCUUUUCUUCAUUAUCUUCUUAUCUUCCAUCUAAGCUGCUCUAAUUUGAUCAAACAUUACUGGCUUAACUUUUAAUUCAACUAACAAACUUCCAUCAUCAUUGAUACUAAGCCGAGCAAACAUUGCCCGUAAUUCAACCGCUGCUUUUCUGCUCAAUGCAUCUGCUACCACGUUUGCCUUUCCUGGAUGAUAAUCUAUAACACAAUCAUAAUCUUUCAGAAGUUCUAUCCAUUGCCUCUGUCUCAGAUUCAACUCCUUUUGUGACAAAAGAUAUUUAAGACUUUUAUGAUCAGUGUAAAUAUAGCAUUUCUCACCAUACAAGUAAUGCCUCCAAAUCUUCAAUGCAAAAAUUACAGCAGCUAACUCCAAAUAGUGUGUCGGGUAGUUGCGUUUAUGUGGCUUCAACUGUCGAGAUACAUAAGCUAUUACUUUUCCAUCCUGCAUCAAUACACAACCCAAACCAUUCAAAGAAGCAUCACUGUACACUAUGAAAUCUUUCCCAGAUUCUAGUAAAGUUAAAACUGGUGCCUCUGUAACAUUUGUUUCAAUGUCUCAAAACUUCUCUAACACUGAUCAUCCCAAAUAAAUGGAAAAUUCUUUUGUAGCAGUUUUGUUAUUGGUAAUGCUAUCUUCAAAAAUCCAUUAACGAACAUUUGGUAAUACCUGGCUAAACCCAGAAAACUGCGUACCUCAGAUACAUUCUUCGGUGCUUUCCAGUGAACAAUUGCUUCAAUUUUCUUCGGAUCAACUCUGAUUCCAUCUGCCGAUACCACAUGUCCCAAAAAAACAACUUCUGAUAACCAGAACUCACAUUUGCUGAGCUUUCUGUACAACUGUUUCUCCCGUAAUAUCUGUAGUACAAUCCUAAGAUGCUGAUCAUGUUCUGACUCUGACUUCGAAUAAACCAGUAUAUCAUCAAUAAAAACCACCAAAAAUUGGUCUAAAUACGGUUGAAAAAUACGAUUCAUCAAAUCCAUAAAAGUAACUAGAUCAUUAGUCAACCCAAAAGGCAUCACCAAAAAUUCAUAAUGGCCAUAUCGAGUAUGAAAUGCAGUCUUUAGAACAUCACUUUAUUUUACUUUCAACUGAUAAUACCCAGAUCUCAAGUCAAUCUUCGAAAAUACCGAAGCUCCUUUUCGCUGAUCAAAUAAAUCAUCUAUAAAGGGCAAGGGAUACCGGUUAUUGAUCGUCACUUUGUUCAACUACCGGUAAUCAAUACAAAGCCUCAUUGAUCCAUAUUUUUUCUUAACGAAUAACACUGGAUCUCCCCAAGGUGAAAUGCUCGGUCUAAUGAAUCCACGAUCUAGUAAGUCCUGUAACUGCACCUUCAACUCUUUUAAUUCAGUGGGUGACAUUCGGUAUAGAGGUAUAGGGAUUGGUGAUGUACCCGGGUACACUUCUAUAGCAAAUUCAACCUCUCUGUCAGGUGGUACGCCCGGUAAUUCUUCAGGGAAUACAUCUAGAAACUCACAUACAGUUAUGAUCUUGCUGCACUGACUAUCAACCUAAUCAGAAUUAAUAACAUAAGCUAAAAAUGUUGUACAACACUUUUGAAGCAAUUUAUUAGCCUUAAUUGCUGAAAUGAUAUGUGUUGAUCAACUAGUACGGAUGCCAUUCACCUCAAUUCUAUCCCCGUCUUCUGUCUGAAUACUAAACCUCUUUUUAUAGCAAUCUAAUACCACUCCAUGUUCAGACAAUCAAUCCAUACCCAAGAUUACAUCAAAGUCAACGAAAGGCAUGAUCAAUAAGUCAACAGAAAACAUUUUAUCAUGUAUCAUCAACGGGCAUCUACGACAUACUCUAUCUACAGAUACAGUUUGUCCCAAAGGGCUAGACACUUCUACUAAAACUCUAGACAUUUCAGAUUUUAACUUUCUCAACUACACCAGUUUUGAAUUAAUAUAUGAGUGUGACGACCCUGGAUCAAUUAAAGCAUAAACAGGCUCAGAAUGCAAUAAGAAUAUACCUGUCACAACAUCGUGGGCAUCACCUUCUUCUCUUGUCUAAACUGCAUAGGCUCUGGCCGGUGCUCUUCCUCUGACUGCUGUGUAACUAUGUCACUACUCCUCCGACCACCUCCACCUCUGGAUACCAAUCUCUGUGAUGCGACGAAAGUAUCAUUUUUAUUUUUCAAACAGUAUUUAACAAAACAUUCUGUUGACCCACAACGGAAGCAGCCUCUAGUCACUUUCCAACACUCACCUAAAUGUUUCUUCCCGCAAUAUUUACAUUCUAGAAUUUUCGUGUCCCGGAGUGGAGCUCUUACACUACCAGUGGAUAUCGUCGUCUGUUUCCCUCGGCUUUUGUCCCCUCGAUCAGAUCUAAAACUUGACCUCCAACCACCUCUAGAUUCUCGAGAUCUUUUCGGUAAAGGAUUUCAAAUAGUAAUGCCAACUCGUUUCCCAGUCGAUCUAGCUAUCUUGGGCUUUUUAUCCAAACCCAAAACCUGCUCUACCAUCUUUGCUCUCUCUACCAAAUCUACAAAUUCAAUAAUUCGGUGUGACACCAGCUGUACCCUGAUCUCAUAUCUCAAUCCCCGAAGAAACCUUUUACAACUAUCAACCUCUUUCGGUAUGAACUCAAAAGCAUAUCGGCUAAGUCUAGAAAAUUCACGUUCAUAAUCCACAACUGACAGAUUACCUUGUUUCAACAUCAAAAAUUUCUGCCUCUUAUCUUCGAUAUACAGCUCCCCAACAUAUUUAUUCUGAAAUUCUUUUUGAAAUAAAUCCCAUGUUACCUGUUCUAUAGGCAGAUGUCAUAUUACAAAUUCCCACCACAAACAUGCUUCUCCUUGCAGUAGAGAAAUAGCACAGAUCAAGCUCUCUCGGGGGGUACAUUCUAAUGGCUGCAGAACUCGUUUAGUUGAUUCCAUCCAAUUCUCUGCAGUGGAUGGAUCAACUCCCAUCAAACCCAAAAAUUAAGUAGCACUGUAUUUCUGUAAUUCUUUGAUUGGAGCCCGUCUAGUAGAAGGAGUAGAUGUCGUAGCAGGUAUAGUCCCCGCUACUCAUUGCAAGGCAUUGUUCUUAAUUUUAUUGCAGCUUUUAUACUUAGUGCAUCAGCUACCAGGUUUGCCUUUCCCGAAUGAUAAUCUAUGACACAAUCAUAAUCUCUCAGAACCUCGAUCCACCGUCUCUGUCUAAAAUUCAACUUCUUUUGUGAUAGAAGGUAUUUAAGAUUUUUAUGAUCGGUAUAUAUAUAACAUUUUUCACCAUAAAGAUAAUGCCUCCAAAUCUUUAAUGUAAAAAUUACAGCAGCUAGCUCCAAAUCAUGAGUCGGAUAGUUACGCUCGUGUGGUUUUAAUUGUCGAGAUGCAUAGGCUAUUACCUUCCGUCCUACAUCAAAACACAACCCAAACCAUUUAAAGAAGCAUCACUGUAUACUACAAAAUCCUUACCCGAUUCUGGUAAUGUCAGAACUGGUGCCUCAAUUAACAUUUGCUUCAAUGUUUCAAAACUUCUCUGGCACUGAUCAUCCCAGAUAAAAGGAACAUUCUUUUGUAGUAACUUGGUCAUUGGCAAAGCUAUCUUCAAAAAUUCAUUCACAAAUCUUCUAUAAUACCCAGCUAAACCAAGAAAACUGCGUACCACAGAUACAUUCUUCGGUGCUUUCCACUGAACAAUUGCUUCAAUCUUCUUCGGAUCAACUCUGAUUCCAUCUGUCGAUACCACAUGUCCCAAAAAUACAACUUCUGAUAACCAGAACUCACAUUUGUUGAGCUUUCCAUAUAGCUGCUUUUCUCGUGAAUCUGUAGCACAAUCUUGAUAUGCUGAUCAUGUUCUGACUCUAACUUCGAAUAGACCAGUAAAUCAUCAAUGAAGAAUACCACAAAUUGAUCCAAAUAUGGCUGGAAAAUACGAUAUAUUAAAUCCAUAAAAGCAGUUGGAGCAUUAGCUAACCCGAACAGCAUCACCAAAAAUUCAUAAUGACCAUACCGAGUACGAAAUGCAGUCUUUGGCACAGCACUUUCUUUUACCUUCAACUGAUAAUAUCAGAAUCUCAAGCCAAUUUUUGAAAAUACUAAGAUUCCCUUCGAUUGAUCAAACAAAUCGCCGAUGCGAGGCAAUGGAUACUAAUUUUUAAUUGUUACCUUAUUCAACUGUCUAUAAUCAAUACAUAAUCGCAUUAAUCCAUCUUUCUUCUUAACGAAUAAUACCGGAGCUCCCCACGAUGAUAUACCCAGUUGAAUAAAGCCACAAUCUAACAAAUCUUGUGACUGUAUUUUUGUAACACCCCCUAACCCCAAACCGUUUUCGAAACAGGGUUAUGAGGCAUUACCGGACAUUUCGGACAAUUUACAAAUAAUUCUUAAAUAAAUAACAAACAUAUAUAAAAGAAUCAUAAAUUCAUACAAAUUUAUACUACUUGGCUUCAUUUUUUCAAUUUAUUAUUCAAUAUAACCUCUUUAUAAUGAUUGAACCUUCCCUGCAAAUUUCAAAUCGCAACCAAACCAAUUCCAGUAUUCAACCAAUACAUUUAUAUACUCAAAUAUACUUAAAUCAUACUUGACAUAUUGACCAAACAACUUAAUUAAUGAAAACCCUAUUAACAUUUCUAAUUAGUUCAUCAACUAUUCAAGCCAUUCCAAUUCAAUACCAAUGCCAUAAACAAUUUCUACCAUUUUACUAAUUUAAUCGUCAAAACACCAAAUAUCUUUCUAUACAACAAAAUUAUAUAAUAUACUAAAAUAACCAUUAUAACCCCUAUGUACAUGCCACUUUCACUUAAAGGAAGAAAACAUCACCAAAAUCUUUAUGCUGGAGUUGGUAUUGUCCUGAUGCUGAACCGAGACUCUGACUCCUUUUUAACCUGCGUACGGAAACAACCGUACGCUGAGUAUUUUAUACUCAGUGGUAUUACCAUAAUUCAAAUUAUAAUAGCAAUAAAGAAAUAGAAUUACCAAGCAUGUAACUAUCCAUCUUCUUAAUUAUCAAUUAAUUCUUAAACUUUCAUCAAUUAACAAUAACAAUAAAAUUUAUAGCUAUUCUUCAAUUUCAAUCACAUAUCACAUGUAACAAUUUCAAUCACUACUUGAACAUUAAGUUCAUGCCUUUUGUUUUCAAUCUCAAUUUCAAUCCACAAUUUUAAAUUUCCUCAUAUUCAAUACUACAAUCGAUCAAAUUCAUUUAAUUUUCUCAUUUCAAUUAUUCACCCUAUUAACAAUCUGGACUUUGACGGAUACACAGAUUCCAACCCAAAAACACCAGUACGGCACAUUGUGCCUAAAACGGUACAUAGUACCUGAUCAGUAUACGACACAUAAGUGCCUGAAAUGACAUACGAGGUGUCUAAUAAUACACAUAAAGUGUCUGAGAUACGACACAUAAAGUGUCUGAUGUACGACACAUAAAGUGCCUGAUCGGCAAACCGAUAAAUCCCGUACUCUUCCAAAUCCUAUGGCAUGCCAAUUAUAUCCGACUCAGUCCGACUAGUUAAUAGGGUAUUUCAAUUUCACAAUCCAAUUUUCACCUUUAUUUCAAGAAUUCAUUUUCAAUAUCAAUUAUACUUUUUCAUUCACUAAUCAAAACACAAUUCAAUAUCAACACAUACUUUUCAAAUUCACAUUUCAACUAAAUUUUACUUUUCCAUUUUCAAGUCAAUAUUCAUUUCAAUUCCACACAUAUAUCCAUUAUUCAAUUGAAUUUCUUUCAACUUAAUAAUAAUACUUACCUUAUAUUUCACUUACCUUAUUAUUUGCUUACCAUACACAUAAUUUAAAUUUAACAUUAAAAAAAUAAUUAAUUUGAAUUAUAAUAAUACAAACCCGAAUUUUACAGUUACUCCUCGACGACCUUCUCCUUCCCUUUUUGUGCCGAUACCUCGAAUUCUUUAUUAGCUACGACAAUUAAAUAAUUAAAUAAUUAAUUACAGCACAAAUUUUACAAUAAUAAUAAAAUUUCUAUCCAAUUUUAUACUUUAAUUCCAAUUUAAUCCUAACUAGAUUUAUCUACUUUUCUAAUUUAAUUCACACUCUAUUUCUAUUCAAAUUUUAUCUAAACUCAAAUUUAACUACUAAAUUUUCAACAUACUUCACUAAUUUCAAAUUUUUCUCAAUUUAGUCCCUACAACAUAAAACUUAUAGCUUACUUCACAAUUUAAUCCUUUUAUCAAUUCUAACUAGAAAUUCUAUCAUUUAAAUCCCUAAUUCAUUUUUUUGUUCAACAUGAAUCAUAUUCAAAAAUCUAAGAACUUACAAAAUUUUAGCUUAAAUUCAACAAAACUUUGUUCUAAGACUUCUAAAACAUCAAAAUUAAAAGAAAAUGACUUGAUUGACUUACCAAAUUAAAGCUUAAAUCCUUAAACCCUAGUUUUUCCUUUUUCUUUUCGUUCUUUCUUUUUCCUUCCCCUGUUUCAAAUGGUUUCUGUUUCUUUUCUUCUUCUUUUUCUUUUAUUCUUUUAUUUUAUUUCUUUUAUGUAUUAGUUAAUGAUAAUAAUAUAAUAAUAUUUAAUUCACAAAUAUCUUUUACUUAAAUUAUAAGAAAAUAUUUUAUUUUAUUACAAGUGUGUUUUUAUUUAUUUUACACAUGUAUUAUUUUAUCACCAUACAAUUUUCUUCAUCUUAUUUAUUUCCUAUAAUAUAAUAUCUUAACUUUAAUUAAUAUAAUUUAUAAUAUUUUAAUUAAAUAAUAUUUUUAUAAUAUAAAUCAAGAAAAAUCUAAGAUUUUUCCAUGUAUUGCCGCCUAACUUUAAGCCAUUGGCUUAUUUACCUAUUUGGUCCCUAUUUCUUCCUUCUAAUCUACAAUUAAACUUUUAACCUUUAUUCACUUUAGUCUCUUCUUACUAAUUACUCUAAAUUAGGAUAAAUUUACUUAGUUAAAACGUAAUUAAACAUACCACUAGACUCAUAAAUAUUUCUAAUAAUUAUCUACAGGUUCAAUUUUCUAAGACGGAGGCCCAAUACUACUCUUUUCCGAUGCCCGUAAAUUUGGGGUCAUUACAAUUUUCAACUCCUUUAACUCUGUAGGUGACAUCCAAUACGGAGGUAUGGAUAUUGGAGCCGUACCCAGAUAAACCUCUAUAGCAAACUCAACUUUCAUUUCUGGUGGCAAACCCGAUAAUUCUGCGGGAAAUACAUCAGGAAACUCGCAAACUGUCUGAAUUUUACUGCACUGGCUUCCAACUAAGCCUGAAUUAAUAACAUAUGCUAAAUAUGUUGAACAAACCUUUUGAAGUAAUUUAUUAUCCUUAAUUGCUAAAAUAAUAUGUGUCGGUCCACUAGUACGGAUACCAUUUACUUCAAUCUGAUCUCCUCCUUUUAUCUGAAUACUGAAUUUCUUUUUAUAGCAAUCCAAAAUCACCCCAUAUUCGGAUAACCAAUCCAUCCCCAAUAUUAUAUCGAAAUCCCAAAAUGGCAUGAUCAACAAAUCAACAAGAAAGGUUUUAUUUUGUAUGACCAAUGGGCAUCUCGGACAUAUUUGAUUCACUAACACUGUUUGCCCUAACAGACUGGACAACUCUAUAGACACUCUAGACAUCUCAGAUUUAAAUUUUCCCAAUUCAACUAAUUUUGAAUUUAUAUAAGAGUGUGAAGAUCCGAGAGUAAUCAAAGCAUGAACAGGCUCAGAAUACAGUAAAAAUAUACCUGUUACUACGUCGUGGGCAUUGCCUUCGUCUCGAGUUCUAAUCACAUAAACUCUAGCGGGUACUUUAGCUUCAGACUGCUGGGUAACAAUAUCACUGCUCUUCCUAACACCUCCUCAUGUAGAAACCGAACUACCUCUACCUGAUCCUCUGCCUCUAGCAGUAGAUACUGAUCUCUAUGAUGUCACAGGUGCAGCACUAUCAGUUUUCGGGCAAUCUCUGAUGAACUGGUCUGUAGAACCACAUCGAAAACAUCCUCUAGUUAAUUUCCAGCAUUCCCUUUUGUGUUUCUUUCCGCAGCACUGACAGUCUGGAAUUUCUACACUCUGAGGUGGACCUCUCACACUACUAGUAGAUACUGUUGUCUGUUUCCCUCUGCUUCUACUGCCUCUAUCUGAUCUAAAAUUGGAUUUCCAUCCACCUUGAGAUUCCUUUGAUCUUUUUGGCUACGGAUUUGAGGUGGUAAUUCCCGUACAUUUCCCGGUUAAUCUGACACUUUCAGUCUUUUUUUCGACGCCUAACACUUGCUGUACCAUUUUGGCUCGCUCAAUCAAAUCUACGAACUCAGUAAUCUGGUGAGAUACUAACUGUACCUUGAUCUUAUCUCGCAAACCCCGUAGAAAUCUUUUGCAACUAUCAGCUUCUGUUGGAAUAAACUCGGAGGCAUAUCUGCUGAGUCUCGAGCAUUCCCUUUCAUAAUCUAUUACCGACAUAUCACCCUGUUGUAACAUUUAAAACUCUUGUUUCUUAUCUUCGAUAUACAUCUCCCCGACAUAUUUCUUUUGAAAUUCCUUCUGAAAUAGGUCACAAGUUAUCUGAUCCUCCGAUAGAUGUCGAACCACUAAUUCCCACCAUAAAUAAGCUUCCCCUUAUAGCAACGAUAUAGCACAAAUCAAACACUCUCGGGGGGUACAGUCCAAUUGUUGUAAAAUUCUUUUAGUCGACUCCAUCCAAUUUUCAGCUGCGAAUGGAUCGACUCCUUUCAGACCCAUAAAUUCAGUAGCACCAUAUUUCCUCAAUUAUUUUAUCGGGGCCUAUCUUUGAAUAGGUGCUGAGGUCAUAGUAGGAGCAGUUCCCGCUACUCUUUUAGUGCAUUGGCAAUUACUCGUAAUAUAUCAGAAACAACUCCAUCAUUUCUUCUAUCAACUCUAGUAGGUUGAUUUCUUACAGGAUUUAUACUCCGUGUUACUUGCUCAGUUUCAUUUAAUCUAUAUGAUUCUUCAUCACCAAUAUACAUUUCCUCAUCAGUAUCAUUUAUUCUUUCAUCAUACAUCUUUAAUCUAUAAAACGGAAACAAACAAAUAGGACAGCAUCCAAAUCCCGACUCAGUUUUGACUCGACAGUGGCAUGUACAUCUAGACUCAAUUUUCGAGCUCGAUUUAGUCCGAGAAUCAGCUAAACCUGAUAGCUUUGAUACCAACAAAAUGUAUCACCCCUAACCCUAAACCGUCAUCGGAACAGAGUUACGAGGUAUUACCAGACAUAUCAGACAAUUUACAAAUAAUUCUUAAAUAAAUAACGAACAUAUUAUAAUAUAAUCAUAAAUUCAUAUAAAUAUUUGUUUUACUAAUUGAAUUCAUUUUUAUUAUUUUCAACCAAAAGCAUAAGACAUUUUCAAAUGACCAAUAUAACACCUAAGUACAUUCAAUUUUACCAAAGGAAAGAUUACAUCAGCAGAUUUUGUACUGGAGUCAGGAUCGCUCUAGAUGCUGAAUCGGAACCUUUGAUUUCUACUAACAUGCGCACGGAAACAACCGUACGCUGAGUAUUUCAUACUCAGUUGCAUUACCAUAAUUCAAAUUAUAACAAUAAUAAACAUGUAAUGCAUAAAUCAUACAUACAAAUUUAAACUCAAAUUUCAUAUUUCAACAAUAACAAUUCUUCAAUUGGUAUCAUAUAUCCACAAUUUGAACUUGGACACAUCAUGAACCUUAGGUUCAUUCAAUAAUCUCAUAUAACAUUUCAAUUCACAAUUCAAUUUUUUCAUCUCAUUUCAGUAGCUCAAUUUAUCAACUCAUUCGGUUUAUCGUUUCAUUAUUUACCCCUAUUAACAAAACUCGAACCUUGGCGGAUACAUGGAUACAGCCAAACACUCUAGUAUGGCACCUAGUGCCUCAACAGAUAGUUCAAAGCAAUAGUUGACACCCAGUGUCUCAUCAGCAAAGCCAAAAAAAGUUGGUACCCAGUGUCUCAUCGAAUCUAUCCGAAGAAAUAUAGUGACACCUAGUGUCUCAUCGACUCGAGGUCAAAGUAUCUCUGAACUCUUCCAAUCCUUUGCCAUGCCAACUAUAUCCGACUCAGCCUGAUUAGUUAAUAGGGUCUCCAAAUUCACAUUUCAAUUCAAUUUCACUUUUUCACUUUCAAUCACAAUUCAAUUCAAAAUUCACUUUUCCAUUUUCAAGUCAAUAUUCAUUUCAAUCCCACACAUAUAUUCACUAUUCAAUUGAAUUUCUUUCAACUUAAUAAUAAUACUUACCUUAUAUUUCACUUACCAUACAUAUAAAUUUAAAUAUAGAAUUUAAUAUUAAGUAAUUUGAAUUAUAGUAAUACAAAUCGUAAAUAUCCCGUUUUAGUCCUCGAUAGCUUUCUCCUUUCCUUUCGAUGCUGAUGCCUCGGGUUCUUUGUUAGCUACGAAAAUAAUAAUAAUAAUUUACAUUAUUAAUUAUAGCACUAAUUUACCAUACUUAAUUGAAUUUUCUUUUCAAUUUAUACCCUAAUUCCAAUUUAUUCCUAAUUAACUCAUUUACUUUUCUAACUCAAUUCAUACUUUAUUUCUAUUCAAUUUCCUUCCAUAUUCUACUUAACUAUCUAAUGUUCAUAAUAAAACCCUAAUUUAAAAAUUCUUUCAAUUUAAUCCCUACAACACAAAACUUAUAGCUUCUUUUACAAUUUAAUCCCUUAAUCAAUUCUAACUAGAAAUUCUAUCAAUUAAACCCCUAAUUCAUCAUUUUUUUCAACAUAAAUUAUAUUAAAAAACCUAAGAACUUUCAAAACUUCAACUUAAAUUCAACAAAACCUUGUUCUAAAGCUUCUAAAACAUCAAAAUUAAGAGAAAAGAACUUAAUUGACUUACCUAUUAAAGCUUUAAACCUUCAAACUCUAGUUUUUCCAUUCUUUCUUUCUUUUCUUUCUUUCCUUUCUUUUCUCCAUGUGUCGUUCUCUAUUUUGUUUCUUUGUUUCUUUUUCUUUCAUUUAUUUUGUUUAUUCUUUUAGUUAUUAUUAUAAUAAUAUAAUAUUAAACAUAUAUACUUAAAUAUUAAGUAAUACAUGUUUUAUUAAUAUAUAUGUAUAUUAUUUUUACACAUUUAAUUAUUAUUACCAUACACUUGUCUAUUAUCAUCACCAUCCAAUUGUUCUUAGUUUAUUUAUUUUUAUUAAUUUAAUAUUUUAAUAUAAUAAAAAUCUAUUUACUUAAAUAAAAGUAAUUAAAUAAAUAUAUUACAAUUGUACAAAUAUAAUUAUUACACAUUUGUUUUAUCAUCACCCUACAUUUGCCAUAAUUCAAUUUAUCUCUUAAUAUAAUAUUUAUAAUUUAAUUAAUUUAAUAAUAUACUUUAUAAUUAAUUUAUAUAUUUAUAAAAUUAAUUCAUGUAAAAAUCUAAGAUUUUUACAAUCUUAUACUACCUCAAUUAGGACAAAUGGCAUAAUUGUCAUUUUGGUCCUUUACAUUUUCUUUUAAUCUAUAAUUCAACUUUUCCCUUUAUUCAAUUCAGUCCUUUCUCCUAAUUACCCUUAAUUAAGCUAAAUUCACCUAAUUAAAACCUAAUUAAAUACACUACUAAACUCAUAGGUAUUUCUAAUAAUUAUCUACAGGUUUAAUUUUCUAAUACGGAGGCCCGAUACUACACUUUUUUUAUGCCUGUGAAUUUCGGGUCAUUACACACACUAUAUACCUAGUACGUUGAGCUUUAAUGAAAGCAGAUUACAGAACGAAAUCAAAGGAGGAAGGAAAAAAUGGAUGUGUCAGCAUCACUCAAACAAAAAUACAAAUCGAAGGAUAGGAAGGGAGCUCGCGAAAACAUAGAAGCAAAACUCGACGUAGGAAAAAAGCCUGAUACUCCAAGAAUUUUCAAAAAUGAAUGGGUUACGCACUCCCAAUUACCCCCUGGACAUGUUUAAUCCAACUCCGACUCAUCAAGAUGAGGGGGCUAAUCUUGAGGAGGAAGGUGCUACUCAGGAGUACCCUAGAAUAAAGGAUGUAUAUGAAGCGCCAUUUUAGCCGUAAUUUUCUACACCAAAAGGGCCUAUCAUACAAAGCCCAACUCACCAUGCACCUUCAAUGAGUAGGAUCUCUUACCAAACACAUGGUAAAAGAAAGGGAAAAGCUCUGAUGGAAAUGAGGCGGACACCGCAGUGGGACGAUGAGGAGGAUGAUUAAAAGUUUUUAUUUUUGUUUCCAAAAUACUUGUGUUAAUUUUUGGAUAAUUUUGAUUCAGACAAUAUAGGAGUAGGAUUAAUAGUACAUUUUUAGUUAUGUUUUGUUUAGGUUUUCUAUGUAGGAACCCGACAUGAAGGAGACAUAAACAAUUCGAUCUUAACAAUACCAAAGGAGGAAGCACCCACCAUUAGCAGUUGGAGCAACCAUGAUCAAUCGAGUAACUUAUUUCCUCAAUUUUUUAUGGGAUAUACAUUGUGGACAAUGUGUCUACUAAAGUGUGGGGGGUAACAUAGAAAACUUGUUUAUUUUCAAUUUCUACAUUUUUCUUUGAUUUUUUCUUGUCUUUGGUGAGCUUGAGCUUAUAGAAAUACAUGUGAUUGAUUAGGAGCAUGUACGUAAGUUGCUUAUGUUUACAAAGAAAUUCGGCAUGAUGGUGGGUGAUUUUAAAUUUUUUAUUAUUAGACUACUAGGUUCUAUAUGUUACACUAUAAAUAGGAAUUAAGCAAUCAAUUGUACCAAGUGAUGUAGAAAAUACAAGGAAACGAACAUGCUAGUACGAAUGAUAAAUGGUUGAAUUUGUAUUUGUUUGGUUCAUUAAGUUUGUGCAUGUUGAGAUAUUUAGGGAUGACCUAAGGAAUUGUUUGAAACACAUCCGGAGCCAAAAAGUUGUCCUAUUUAUAUUUCACCUUUAGUACCAAUCUUUGAGCCUGUUUACACUUCUUGAUGAACCUCAUUACAAACCGUUGAGCUUUAAAUGUUAAUUUGUAUUUACCUUUUUUCUUUGGUCCUGCGCUGCACGACUAUAGACGUCUGACCAUACAUAUUGAGGGUUAAGUAGAUACAUCAUGGCGAAGGUUGUAAAAAUAGAGGGAAAUAGGAAAGAUUGGUGUGAUGUAGGAACUAUAAGUUAGCCUAAUAUGCGAAAUAAAAAGAAAAUUCCAAAAAAAAGAAAGAAAAUUAGUACAAGUGGAAAAAGUCUUAAACCAAUGAAAAAGCAUUCAUGACUGAGAUGUAUUAAAAAAAAGAGAGAAAAGUCACAAAGUCACAAAAGAAAAACUCAUUCAUUGGUGCACAAAAACUCGUAAGGCUACCCGUAGUUACUAUGCCAUGUUAUGACUUCCUAUAUAUGGAGAGACAAGGAAGGCGAGAGAAUGAGAAAUAAGACGGUGAGCGGGUAAGGGUCACUAAGGGGGGAAGAAUAGGGAUCAAUGCGAUGUACCAAACUAUUUUCGUGUUUGAAACCCUCUUGACGCUUUCUAUCUUUAAAUUUCAUACAUGUCUUGAGACUCAUAACAAUACAAGCCGAAAGUCCUAUGUGACCUAAGUAUCCUUAUACACAAAUGGACAUCAUACUAAACAUACGCAUAAAUGACUAUUUGUAUUCUACUCAGAUAAUCAAAGUACUUGUAUAAUUUAUUGAUGAAUCUCUACAAGUGAAACCCUUUAUACUUGUAUAUUUUGUAACAUACUGAACUUCGAUGUUUGUGAUCAAAAGUGGUAAGUCAAUUAUUCAUCAUGUUAAAGUUGUUAGUAAGCAUAAAAAGCCUAUAUCAUAUGCUCUAAAGUCAAUACAUGUAUGAUAUUUUCUCAAGGGUCGUCACUUUUAUUUCUUUUUUUUAUUUAUGUUGCUUGAGGACAAGCAAUGACUUAAGUGUGGAAAAGUUUGAUCUAUCAUAAUUUGGUGUAACAGAUUAAACUAGUUUUUGCAUUUAAGGAGCUUGAAUACAAGCAUUUUCGUUACGUUUUAGUUAAUUUUUUUUUUAGUUUUAAUUACAUUCAAUAAAAUGUGCAAAUUCAGUCUUUUAUUAACCUUAGGGGCCAAAUGAGGCCUAAGGGUGAGCUAACACACUUUGUGAGUGUAUAGGAGACCAUUAGAAGGAGUAUUAAAUGAAUAUUGGUCGCUAUGUCGCAGCACGGAUGACUCAAGGUCGCAACAUUGGGAAUAGAAUGGAGAAAGCUCAAGUUUGCCUUCGAUGUCGCGACACAAACUGAGGGUAUCCGACAUACCCCUGAAGAUAGCUGAAGAGGAGUAAACUGAUUGCUAUGUCGCUACACAUGUCCUAGUGUGUUGUGACAAUGACUCUAUGAUGAAAAUUAAAUACGAAAUAGAAGUGUUUUGGUCUGCACAAUCAAACCUAAAGCUCGGGAACAUCAACUAACCUAGGGUUAAGGACGAUGGCCACCUAAAGGCUAUAAAUUGGCUCAUUUGUCACUUGUUAUGACAUGAUCCCUUUAGCCUAAAUUUUCUUUGUAAAAUUUAGUUUAGUUUUCUUUCGUUCUUAGGUUUUAAAUUUCUUUAAUUUGUUCUUAUUGAUUUAAAGAGAUCUGAAUUGUGGAAGCAUUCAAACUUUGUGGAUUCGCAAUUAAUUUCAAUACAAUCAGGCUCUUUCAUUUACUUUAUUUUUUCUUAAUUAGCAUGCGUUUUUUAUAUCAAUUUCAUAUUGUCUAUGACAGUAAUGAGGAACUAAUCCCUCUAUGGGGGGUUAGUGAGUGGUGGUAUGAUCUGUUAACUGUUUUGUAGGGCUACUCAAUGAAUCAGUUGUUUGAAAAAGGAAGAACGUGAAAUAAACCCCAGGCCUAACAAUCCCGGGAAGUCAUCAAGUUAGAAAUUAACCCAAAAUUGGUAUUGCCCAUUCAUGAACACCUUUACCCCAAGCCAGUCUAGACUAUGAGGUCGGAAGAUAAGUAGUUCUUGCUGACUCAUUGUGUUAAUGGAAAAUCGAAAGAUCCUGCUAGGGUAGCGACUAGUUGAUUGAUGAGGAACCUGAAACAAUAGUUGAUGAGGAUUACCAAAGCGAGCUAAUCACCCAUAAUCGAGAUUUGACUCAUUCUACUUUUCUAUCUCUUGAGUUUUUAUUUCUUUUAUGUUAUUAUCUUUUAUCCUUAAACCACCAUUUUUAUGUUUUCGUACUAUAAAUGAUUUAAAUUACUAAUUAGAUCUUUUUAGUGUUUAGAUUAAAAUUGACUUAGCACUCGCCUCCCUUGGGUACGAUUCUCAGAGUGCUCACCUACUCCGUUGUAAAAAUUAUAUUACAACUCGACAUGUAUACUUGCGGAUAUCGCCUCAUAUUUCUAUAUCUUAUUACAGUAUUCAAACUCUGGACAUUAGUAUGUCCGGAGGCGGUCAGUAGUCAAAGUAACCCGUACUCGACCUAUCCUACAGCAUGCUAACUAUAUCUGACUCGCCCAAACAGUUAACAAGGUAAUAACUAAUUUAAUUUCGAAUACAAUUCAAUGUCAUAAUUCAUUUUAUUCAAUCAACAAUCGAAUAGUCAUUCUAUAUAUAUAAUGUCAAAAAUUAGCCCAAUUCACAAUCAUUUUCACAUUUUCAUUGGCUUACAGUAUUUUCAAAUUUAUUCAAUUUGGUCCUCUAACUCAAAAGUCAAUAUUUCCAUACCAAUUCAAUCCAAAUAAUCAAUCUCAACUUACCUCAAUAUCUUACCAUGUUAUACAAUGUAAUGAUGCAACAAUUUAAGCAAAUCACAUUGUAAAAAUACAAACUGUAAACUCUGAGUUGUUUGUUGAUGGUUUUAACUUUUCCCUUCCCUCUCGAGGAAUUUGGGUUGACAUUAGCUACCAAUUUUUAAUUUAUACAAACUUUACAUUUUAUUCAAUUUAGUCCUUAAAAUCGGGACUAAUAUAACUUUCAAUCUAAAGCUCCAAAUUGAAAUUAGUUUUCACCGUUAACCAUUAGGGACCUCAUAAUUCUCAUUUCUACAGUAUAUUUUACAAUUUAUUCAAUUUGUUCCCUAUUGUAGGAAAUUAUCAAUUAACUUCACAAUUUAGCUCUUUUCACAUCUAAGCUUAAAAUCUAUCAAUUUAAUACCUAAAACUUCAAGAAAUCAACAAUGGUAACUUUCUGAAACUUUAACAAUUUUACAAAUUGAUACAUAAACUACUUAGAUUAAGUUCCCAUAAUCUCAAAAAUAUAAAAAUUAUAAAGAAUAGACUAAAUUAAACUAACCAAUUUAAACUUCAAAGUUUGAAAACCUUGGCCGAAUGAUCUUCUCCUUUACCUUCUAAUUUUUAGUAUUGAAGAGAUGAUACAAACUAUGUUUUCUCUUUCUUUCCAAUAUAAUGUUUUACUUUACUUAUGUUAUAUAUACUUUAUUCAAUUCAAUGUUAAUAAUAUUUAAACAAUUUAACUCACCUUCCCGUCCACUAUCAUUUUAAGAUGGUAUAUUUAUCAUUUUAAUCCUUAGUUUAAUUGCUAAAUAAGUUUUUUAACAUUUGGUCAAUUAAAAAUUUAUAUUUGUGAAUCUUUACAAUUUAAUCCUUAAGCCCUAAUUAAUCAUUAAUUCGAUAAAAUUACCUAUUCAAACUUCAAUUCAUCUUUUCAAGAACUCUGCAAAUAUUUAAUAAAAAUAUUUACGAAUUUAAUUUAUAGAAACAAAUUUCAGAAUCAUAUUUUUUAUUACCACUUAUUUUUGAAUCGUUAUAGUCACCAAGCCUGAAGACAAUUGGAUAUUGUUGUUCACUGACAAUGUUUCCUCUGCUCCAUCCAACACCUACACUUGUAAUCUUGUUCUCACUGGGAAUCAAUGCAUUACCUUAUCCAUCACCAUCAUCAUUAGACAGUGUUAGAGUAAUUAAUAAAAUUGUUAAGAGUUGUUAAAACUGUUACUCAUUAGUUAACAGUUAGGUACUUGGUUAGCAUACGUUGUUGUAUAAAGGUAUGAGAAGUCAGUAUGUAAAAGAUCAUCAGAAGAAAAUAUAUUCUUCUUGAACAAUUUGUUUUUGGUUGUUAGAUUCUUAAUAUAGUUUAACAUGGUAUCAGAUGUUCGUUCUUUCCUGGCGUUUUUCUGAUUUCUGGCUGCUUCCAUGGAUCCUCCAUCUAGUCUGUUUGAUGUGCAAUCUCCUUCACCAAUAGUGGCCUCCAAUGCUACUGACGGAGUUGUUGAUGGUCAAUUCUUCUCCAUAAAGAAAAUUAGUGUUCUUCUUGAUGAUAAUAACUAUCUACUAUGACAACAACAGGUGCUCUUAGCAGUCAAAACGUAUAAGCUUCAAAGUUUCUUGGACUCUCGAACGGUUCCUCCCACUCAGUUUGUUUCUGAUGGUAAUGGUGGACUUCAUGAGAAUCCAGAGUUCGCGCGCUUCGAACAACAAGACAGUGCUCUUGCGUCCUGGUUGCUUUCGUCAGUCAGCCAAGCAGUUCUUCCUCACCUUAUUGGUAUGGAUACCAGCGCUCUAAUUUGGAAUGCAAUUGUAACCUUGUAUUGCAGUAAAACCACUUCUAGGCUGAUGUUCUAUAGAAGGGCCUUGCACUCUCAACGCAAGGGUGAACUGAGCAUGAAAGAGUUCUUAAUGAAGAUCAAAGGUUGCUGUGAAAAUCUUGCUAGUUGCGGUGAGGUUAUCAGCGAACAUGAGCAUGUUACUACAAUUCCAAAUGGUCUUUCGCCUGAAUAUGAGUCUGCGAUUACUAUUAUUACAACAAGCCAAGUACCAUACACAGUACAAGGUGUAACAACCAUGCUCAUGUUCGCUGAAACUCAGCAGCAGGUUGCACUUUGUGAUGCACCUAGUUCUACUAAUAUGGUCUCUCAUCAACCAUCCGAUCGUGCUGUCCAUAAGGAUUCUACGCCUGUCUAUCACCCAGUCUCAGCAGCUCGGGGUCAUGGGCGAGGACGCUCUUCUGCUUCGCGAAUUCAAUGUCAGUUGUGCGGGAAAGCUAGACAUAUUGUUGAUUGUUUCUAUUAUCAUUUUGAUUUUUCCUACAAGAGCACAAACUACAGGCCUCCUCCACAAGCGAAUAUCUGCAUGGUUGGUGCAGGACCUACUGUUGCACCUUGGGGUUCAUCUUCUCUGCCCUUGCCUUAGUCAAAUACUUCAUGGUUUCCACCAGGUUGGUUUUUCCCUCCUCUGGUGCACCACAGUCUCAGGUGUAUGUUGCAACUCCUAAAACAGUUGGUGAUAACUCUUGGUACCCGGAUUCUAGUGCCACGCAUCAUCUUACGCAUUCUGUUGCUUCACUUGGUGACGGUGCAUCCUACAGAGGACUAGGUAAGGUGUAUGUAGGUACUGGUUCAACCCUUCUUGUUUUAUCUACUAGAUAGUCAUCCUUGCUCACCCGUUCUCGACCCUUAUACAUGCGAUCUUUGUUACUUGUGCCUAGCAUUACUAAAAAUCUAUUUUCUAUGUCAAAUUUACAAAAGAUUAUCAGGUGAUGUUUGAGUUUCUUCCUACACAGUGCCAGGUUCGUGAUUUGAAAACCAGAGAGAUCCUUCUUCGGGGCUCGGUGCAUCAUAGCUUAUAUAAACUACACCUCAACAACUCUGCCGAGACUAGUUUGCCCUCUAGACAGGCUCAGUGUCUUACAGCUAGUACAGUACUCCCUCUUAGUGUUUGGGAUUCUAGAUUAGGGCAUCCCUGUCGAGCCAUACCUACAAAGGCUCUUCUACAAUGUAAUAUACAGUUUGAUGAAAAUAAUAAAACUGUUAACUGUGUCGCUUGUCACCUAAAAAAGGAACAUAAGCUUCCAUUUCCUAAAUCUUUCACCGAGUACACCUCCCCUCUUCAAUUAGUGAUUGCUGAUGUUUGAGGGCCAGCACUAGUUUUGUCUAGCGGUUUUUGCUACUAUGUUACUUUUACUGAUGCUUCUACACAUUAUACGUGGGUUUAUUUUUUGAAGAAGAAGUCCGAUGUAGUAAAUGUGUUUCUACAGUUUCAUCAGCAGGCUGAAAGAGUUCUUGGCUACAAACUUAAAGCCUUACAAACAGAUGGGAGAGGGGAGUUUCAGGUGUUGAAAAGUUAUUUAGCUCAGCAAGGGAUCAUGCAGCGUCUUACCUAUCCUUACACUUCUGUACAAAAUGAUCCUGUUAAGUGCAAACAUGGGGAAAUAGUUGAAGCAGGUCUGUCCAUGUUUGCCCAUGCAUCCAUGCCUUUGACAUUUUGGAAUGAAGCCUUCUGCAGUGCUGUGCAUUUGAUCAACCGGUUACCCUCUUAUCCCUUAGGUAACAUCUCACCAUAUGAGAAACUAUUUCACACACGACCAGAUUACUCUUUUCUUUGAACAUUUGGCUGCUUAUGUUUUCCUAACCUUAGACCGUUCAACAAAACAAAGUUGCAGUUUUGGUCAACUUCAUAAGUAUUUUUAGGCUACUCCCCUUUACACAAAGGGUACAAGUGUCAAUAUGCUACUGGCAGACUCUAUGUUUAACGAAGUGUCACUUUUCAUGAGUCAACAUUUCCAUACAAAACUAAACCUUUCUCAGUAGCCUCAUCUGUCCCUACUCCCCAGUCCAGUUCCAAACUUUUUGUCUUGUCUUCAAGUCGAGUUCCUUGUGUCAAUUCACCAUCUGUUGCUCCUCCUAAUACUCAACCUACAUCACUUAGUCCUGAGCCCAAUUCUUCCAGUAUAGCACAGACUCUAUCUGCUCCAUCUACGCCACAUAGGUCUUCUACACCUGAGCAGCUACAGUCUUUCCCACCUACCCCGCCUAACACCCAUGCCAUGGUUACCAGAAGUAAAGUUGAGAUUUUUAAGCCAAAGGCAUAUCUGAGCACAGCAUCUUGCUCUUCUAGUGAUGUUCCUCUUGACAUUCAUGCCGCAAAGAAGUCUGAGUGUUGACAGGCAGUAAUUCACAUUGAGUUGCAGGCUUUGAUUCGCAACAACACAUGAACUCUUUGCCCUUUACCAAAAAAUUGGCGAGCAGUCGGGUACAAGUGGCUGUUUAAAGUAAAAACGAAGGCUGAUGGGUCAAUAGACAGGUAUAAAGCACGUUUGGUAAUGAAAGGGUUCUCUCAGCAUGCAGGGCUCGACUUUCAUAACACUUAUAGUCCGGUGGUUCAAGCAUCUACCAUUCGAAUAAUACUUGCUCUCGCUGUUAUGCAGGGGUGGCCGUUGCAAUAGGUUGAUGUAAAUAGCGCCUUCCUUAAUGGCGAGUUAACUGAAGAAAUAUACAUGGAGCAACCUCCUGGUUUUGAAGUAUCUGAUACCAUUAGGUGGAAGCUUUUGUGCAAACUGAACAAAGCUCUCUAUGGCCUUCACCAGGCCCCUCGCGCAUGGUUCCAAACCCUUAAGCAGUACCUUGUUGCUCAGCUUGGUUUUCGAGCGUCCAAAGCAGAUUCUUCAUUUUUUAUUCGAGCGUCUGCAGGGAAUUACUUGUUGCUCGUGGUCUAUGUCAAUGAUAUUAUGCUCACUGGUAGUUCUGAUCAAGAUAUAGGAGAUGUGGUACGCCAGCUUCACAAUAAAUUUGCACUUAAAGACAUGGGAGACCUCAACUUCUUCUUAGGAAUUGAUGUGUAACGUACGUCACAAGGGAUGAUGCUCAAUUAAAAAAAACUAUAUUAUUGAGCUACUUCACAAAACUGGUAUGAUCGGGCCAGCAGCUACACCUACGCCCAUGGUGAGCACUCCCAAGUUAGUUGCUUUAGACGAUAGCCCUCCGUUUCCUGAUGUUCACUUGUAUCGAAGUGUAGUGGGUAUGCUCCAAUAUGUAUGCAUUACACGUCCUGAUCUGUCGUUUUGCGUUAAUAAACUCAACCAGUAUAUGAAUUCUCCAAGUGACACUCACUGGAAAGUUGUUAAACGAGUGNNNNNNNNNNNNNNNNNNNNNNNNNNNNNNNNNNNNNNNNNNNNNNNNNNNNNNNNNNNNNNNNNNNNNNNNNNNNNNGGCUUCAUCUAUUGAAGAUCGCCGCUCUACUUCAGGAUAUGUUGUGUACAUAGGGUCGAAUCCUGUUGCUUGGUGCUCGAAGAAGCAAGUAGUGGUGUCCAGAUCCUCCGCUGAAGCAGAAUAUUGCAGCCUAGCCAACUGUGUGUUUGAACUGUUGUGGAUCAAACAGUUGCUAGAUGAAGUGGAUAUAUUUGUGUCCCAAACACCAAUCAUUUGGUGUGAUAAUACCUCUACAGUUUCAGUGGUUGAAAACCCCACACAUCAUGCCAGGAUAAAGCACAUUGAGAUAGAUCAUCAUUUUGUUCUUGAAAAAAUUCUUGCUGUAAUGCUUCAAGUCAAUUGUGUUCCAUCUGCUCCAAAGAAGAUAAAAAACUACGGGUAAAGAUAAUUUUACUAUAAUGACAAAAGAAACGAAGAGCACAAAAAGAUGGAGAUAAAAACUAAACCCCAAAAACCCGAAAAACAAAGAACCCUCAAAACGUAAACACAAAAUUCUCUAAAUGUGUUAUGAGUUCUAAUAUCUAAUGGGUGUGUUUUCUAAGGUUGUAAAAGAGCCUAUUUAUAGGCUAAAUUAAUAGGUCAAAUAAUAAUAAAAUAAUCUAGACUAAUUAGAGUUUGAUUGAAACAAAUAAACAGAGUUUAACUGAAAGAUUAUUUCUCAAAUUUGAUUGAAAUAGGAGUCAUACUCAACAGUAUAUAUGAACUUUAAUUUUGUAAAAUUUUAUAUAUGAAAUUUUGAUUUGAUCUAAUUUUUAUAAAUUAUUAACACAAUUAUUGAUAUAAACGAAUUAUUUUACACAUGGUUUCAUAUGUGCUCACCCUGAAAUAGCUACUCUACAUUGGUUGUUUUUGUUCUCUUUUACUAAUAGAUGGUCGGGGUGUUAUUGCGGUCCGAACCCUCACAAACCGUUUCGAGUUAACGAAGUUCAAUUAAAUUCAUGAACUUGGUAGAGUAAUUGUAGGCCCUUUAUCCAAUCUGUUCUUCUUUAAAACCCAAACCUUAGCUUAUCCACUCUUCAACAUUGUCCUUGAACAUCAACUGAAACUACUCAUAAAACAUGCAAAUAGGUGCCAAAUGAAAAGGGGUCAUUGCCACUUCAACAUGGACCAGGGAAGACAGUUCUGAGCUUGACGGGCAAUUUACAGAAAAAAGCCCUUUUUUUAAAAAAAACUACCGAAAUGGGCUCAUUAUUUAAUUAUUUCUGAAAUGGUCCAUUUUCUGGCAAAUCGCGUCCACGUCAGUGCGAUGUCAGGGGACGCGCUAGGAAAUCGCGGCCACAUCAGCGCGAUUUGCUGACAUAGCAACAAAUUGUGCCCUCUAGGACGCGAUUUGCCCCGCGCGUGAACAGUGCUGACGUGGCCGCGACGUGGCCGCGACUUGCCCCGCGCGUGAACAGUGCUCCAACGGUCAAAAAUUUGACCGUUGCCCCCCCAACGGUAAAAAAAAAAACUAUAAAUACCCCCACCCCUUUUUUUUCACAAACUAAUCCUCUCUCAAAUUUCCUCUCAAUUUCCUCUCAACUUCCUCUCAAUUUCCUUUCAAUUUCCUCUCAAUUUCCUUCAAAAAUUCUCUUAAAUCCAUAUUUAAUUUCAAUUUUCUCUCAAGUUCCUCUUAAGUUUCUCUUAACUCCCUUUUUUUAAAUAAUUUUAAAAUUUUUUUUUAAAUUUUUUUUAAACCGUAAAAAUUUGUACGAUUUCAGCAAUGGCCGGAGAAUUGACUUGUCUUGAUAAGCAUCACAUAUCGGUGGAACAAAUAAAAAUGGUAAGUAUUAAAUUUAAUUUUUAAAUAUUAUUUAAGAAUUUUUUAUUUAUGCAUUUUUAGAUCAUUAUUAAUUUUUUAUUUGUUAUAAAAGUCUGUAGAUCGAGUAUUGGAAUGCAAUAUCCGGAAUAUGCAUGCUCAUCCAUCACUGUUGGUAGAGAACUACCUGCGGGAAGCGAGUUUUUGACACGUGGCGACGGUAGGCCGGGGAUGCAAGGUGGACCCGAAACUAAUCAGUGCGUUGAUCGAGAGGUGGAGACCCGAGACGCACACAUUCCAUCUUCCAUGUGGAGAGUGCACUAUCACUCUAGAAGAUGUCAGUCUACAAUUGGGAUUGCCGGUGGACGGGAACCUAGUCACCGGGUCUGCCAAAUCUAGCGAUUGGGGGGCGGUGUGCUACGAGCUUUUGGGCGCUAUUCCGGAGAAAAUUGAGGGAGGUAAGAUCGAGAUGGGUUGGUUACGUGGCACAUUCCCUGAUCCGGAUGAAGAUUCAACCGAAAUUGAAAGAAUCUGAUAUGCUCGGGCAUACAUUCUUCAAUUAAUUGGAGGUUAUCUGAUGCCCGACACGUCACGAAGUCGCGUACAUCUAAGAUGGCUGCUGAAACUCGUUGAUUUUAGAGCAGCCGGUGAAUUGAGUUGGAGGUCUGCCGUCUUGGCAACAUUAUAUCAGGAGAUGUGCAGGGUGAUGCGACCGAGGAGAGCAAAAAUCGGAGGUUGCCUGUCACUACUACAGUCGUGGGCACGGUUUCGCUUUCCAUUUCUACGUCCUCGAGUGGACCACCUAUAUACAUUCCCACUCAUAACGAGGUAAAUUUUAUAUUAGAUUUUACAAUUAUUAUGUAGAUUUUUAAAAACAAAAGUAUGCUAAAAAUUUAUUUAAUUAGGUGGAACCAUCCGGCAAGUCAUGCUCGAUUACCGUCCUCUCUUGAAGAUAUACGGCUUCUAUUGGACCAAUGGUCGGAAGCACAAGUAAGUAUUAAAUAAAAUAGAUAUUUCCAUACAUUCGCUAGUCGAUUGAUAUUUAGUAUUUAGUAUUUAGUAUUAUGUAUAUAACUAAUAUUUCUAUCAUGUUUAUAUAGUUUCAAUGGACACCAUACGAGGAUCCGGCAAUUCGGGCAGUAAUCCCGGAAGAGUUCUUACAAAAUCCAUAAGCUUGGCACGUGAAAGUCGUGUUGAUCAACUACGCAACCGUGGAGCCGCACCAGACAGGCAGAGUACUAUGACAGUUUGGAUGUAGACAACCGAUUCCCGUGGAUCCUGAGGUGUUUGACGAUCAACACAAAGUCGACCUUCGGUAAUUGAAUACAGAUUGGACGAGAUACUGGUCCGAGUACAUGGAAAUAUAGGAAGAUCGGUAUGAAUAUAUACCUACUCGGGAACCAAUCAUCGUUCCGGAGUUAGCGUGCGUUCCAGAAUACAUGCCAUGGUUUAGGAUCCAUGGCAAGCCGUAUUUACUGACGCCAGAGGAGAGGCAGCGGCAAAUACGUGUCGAAAGGGAAAGGCGUGACCUCUAAAUCCAAGACGACGAAGGCAGCCCUUCAACGAGGCCCAGACAUUCACCCGACUCAUCAUCAGCGGCCAUGCAAUCACCAGGCCCAACGAGAGCACCGACACAGUCACCCGACGCAGCAGUUCAACUGAUAAUACCCACGCAACUGCCUUUUCAAAUGAUGCCAGGUGCGUUUCCUAGCCCUUAUAUGUAUCCUAACCCUUAUAUAUAUCCUUUUCCGAGUCCUAUGGCAGGUUGGAGCCAAAUGUCUGGUUCAGCUCCAUUUCCUGUUAUGCCAAGUGGAUUGCCGAUGUAUAGGCCAGCGGCGUACGAGGAAUCGUAAGAGGGGCUGUUGGGGAGCUCUACUUUUUACCAAUCCCCACCAACGUAUGGGUUUCAAACACCGUCGCCGUUCGUAAUGCAAACACCUCCACAUACAAUAUUCUUUGAAGGUGGAUCAUCGUCCCAAGUCCAACAACCAGAUGUCGUACUGGAAGAACCAGAAUCCCCGCCGGAGGAACAACAACCGCCACCGGAAGCUAGAGAAAGGAGGAAUCCAGCGUGUAACCGUCGACGGCCGCCAUGUGGCACUGAAUCCCCUGGGCAUAGACAUUGAUUGUCGUAUUUAAAUUUAUUUGUACAAAUAUUUUGAAUAUUUUAAUAUUAUUUGAUGUAAUAAAAUAGAAGUUUAUUUGAUGUAAUAAAAUAGAACUUUUUUUUAGUUAUUUUGAUAUUAUUUGAUGUAAUAAAAUAGAAGUUUAUUUGAUGUAAUAAAAUAGAAAUUUUUGAAUAUUUUGAAUAAUUUGAAUAAUUUGAAUAAUUUGAUAUUAUUUGAGAAUUCUACUAACCAUUAAUACCCUUAACUUAAAAACACUAACCUAAUUUAAUUAAAAACCCUAACCUAAUUUAAUUAAAAACCUUAAACCCUUAACUUAAAAACCCUAACCUAAUUAAAUUAAAAACUCAAACCUAAUUAAAUUAAAAAUCCUACCCCUUAACUUAAAAACCCUAACCUAAUUAAAUUAAAAACCCUAACCCUUAACUUAAAAACCCUAACCUAAUUAAAUUAAAAACCCUAACCCUUAACUUAAAAACCCUAACCUAAUUAAAUUAAAAACCCUAACCCUUAACUUAAAAACACUAACCUAAUUAAAUUAAAAAACCUAACCUAAUUAAAUUAAAAACCCUAACCCUUAACUUAAAAACCCUAACCUAAUUAAAUUAAAAACCCUAACCCUUAACUUAAAAACCCUAACCUAAUUUAAUUAAAAACCCUAACCCAAUUAAAUUAAAAACCUUAAACCCUUAACUUAAAAACCCUAACCUAAUUAAAAUUAAAACCCUAACCUAAUUAAAUUAAAAACCCUAACCCUUAACUUAAAAACCCUAACCUUAAUAAAUUAAAAACCCUAACCCUUAACUUAAAAACCCUAACCUAAUUUAAUUAAAACCCCUAAACCCUAAACUUCAAAACCCUAACCUAUUACUUAAAAACCCUAACCCCCUUAACUUAAAAACCCUAACCCUUAACUUUAAAACCCUAAACUAAUUUAAUUAAAAACCCUAAACUAAAUUAAUAAUUUUACAUUCACAUAAUGUUAGAUUUGGAAAAAUGUUUUGACUGGUACUAACAAUUAAUAAUUUUAUAUAAUUUGAUAAUUUUACUAAUCAUUAAUACAAUCAAUUAAUAAUUUUACAUUCACAUAAUGUUAGAUUUGGAAAAAUGUUUUGACCGGUACUAACAAUUAAUAAUUUUAUAUAAUUUGAAAAUUUUACUAACCAUUAAUACAAUUUAUCAAUUAAUAAUUUCACAAACUUAAUUUUUUUACAAUUACAUUCAACUAUUGCGAUUAGGGCAUGAUCGACUUGUAUGGUCUGGAUUUCUACACCAUCCGCACAACUUCGUUUGACUGGUUGUUUCUCGGAUAUCCAUAUUGUUACGUAUUCUAGUCGAGCAAGGUCAACCCUUUGGUUUACGACGUAAUUCUCUCUCCGGUAACAACUUAAAAGGAGCAAGAGAUACGGGCGACCACUUACGUUCAUCUCGGACCGGUGGGAAAACGUGUCUCCAGACGUUGAACAUGUUUUCUAAUUUGUACACUUCGUCCACAUAACUCAUCGGAUCCAGACGGAUAUUCUGACAAGCUGCAAUAACAUGUGCGCAUGGAUAACGAAGUGCAUCAAACAUCCCACAGUCACAAGUCCUAUUUCGCAAGUGUACACGAUAUUGCCUGCCAACAACACCUUGGUGCGGUCUGUCAAACCCUGUCACGUGAAACCAUAAAUUGUCUCGAUCGUGACACACUGUGAGCAUGGUGUUUGCCCUCGCAUUGGCCUUGUUAAUUUCUUGAACUACCUUACUGCACCAUACAUGUCCUCCCUGCAUCUGGCCUGCAUAACUUGCUGCUCGCUUUGGAAAUAAUGCCGCCAAACGAAAAUAUGUCUCUCGCACAACCGAUGUUAUCGGUAGAUGGCGCGUUCCUUUAAUAACAGAAUUUAUGCAUUCAGCCAGGUUCGACGUCAUAUGGCCAUAUCGUAGGCCGCCAUCGUAUGCUUGUGCCCACUGUUCGAAACAUAUGUUACAAAGGUAGUCCGCCCCUUCUCCGUUAAUUGAACAUAAAAUUACCAACAUCUCGUGAAAACGAUCUUUAUUUAUUUCAUACCCUGCCAAUAUAAGAUCAUAGCGAAUAAUUUAUACCACUUCUACUAAUAAAACUAAUUCAAAUUGACAAACGAAAUAACACAGAUAUAGACUAAAUACCCAUAUUGGUCACUUGUCAUCAUUCGCUCUUAGAUGGAUAUUGUCUGUAGUCGUUCGAAGCAACGUGUCUUAGGCAAUAUCUAUGGUGUGUGCACUGCUAUAAGCUUCCCUGUCAAUCAAAUGCAGCUAGUAUACUGGCGCCCCGAUUUGAAAUAACACAGAUAUCAGGUUAGAGGCACACAUGCCUCCUUAACCUAGAGAGAAAGAAAUCCCAGUCAUCAGACGACUCCCCCGGUGUUAUUGCAAAUGCAAUUGGAAGAAUUCUCCCACCGCCACCCUGUGCCACUGCAAGCAAUAGCCGAUGAGUAUACCUACUGAACAUAAAGAUACCGUCAAUUUGUACCAACGGCUUGCAGUACGGAAAUGCGUCUCGACAUUGCUUAAAGGUCCAAAACAGGCGUUUGAACACUUGGCAUCCAUGUAGCAAUCGGUCGUUGUAGUACGCAUGUUCCAUUUCAAGGUCUGUGAUGGCACUUGGGACGUAUCUCUCUAGCACCUGACACCACUGCCAUAUUUCAUUAUAUGAGGCCUCCCACCCACUAUGCAUCUUCUCCAACGCCUUUUGCUUAGCUAUCCAAGCCUUACGGUAAGAGGGCGUGUACCCCAUUUGGCUACGGAUAUUGGUAAUUAACAUCAGUACUGAAAUCCUGGGAUCCGCUUUUACCGUGGACAGUAUCAAGCUAGCUAACAUAGCUGAAUCCAUCUUGGGAUGGUCUUGUGAAACACCUAUAAACCGAGUACAUUAAAUAAUGCAACAUUGCAUAAUAAAAGUAUUAUUCAGAAAUCGUCUAUACUAUACCUGCAGCACAUGUAUGUGAACCUUUGUACUUUUUAAUCUCCCACAACCCUGUCCUUUUCCUUAACGAGGCGUAGAUAUUCCAUGAACAUAUGCUGUCUUGGACCGCACACUUCGCCUCAAACUUAUCAGUUUUGGAUUUAAUGACGUGGUAGUUAAUGCUGUUUUUGAUGCUAUGUUGUUUCAAAGCACCAAUAAAAUUAUCCUUGUUGGUAAACUGAUUACCAACUUCAAAUUCACCGGAAUCUACACCCGAACUUGUACGAUCACGCAACCGGUAUGGUAGAUCUAGAAACUCUAACGCAUUAUCUGCAGACAGAUCGACAUUAUGCAUGUGGGCUGGAGGUGAGUAUGCUUUGAAUCGUGGAUUUUCUUCUUCAUCUAAACUCCUUUCAGCAUCUUCAGAUUCUGUUGAAAUAGGCUCCGGUUCAGAAAAUAAGCCAACUUCUGCACCAUCCGGCCCGGGCUCUCGAGGUGGAUCCACAUCGGAGUCAUCUUCUAACCCACAAUCAUCUGCAGCGUACGAGGUCCCCUCACCGGUUGACGUCGUAGGGAGUACAUCAUCCCUUCUUCUGGGCAUUUGAUAACGUCCCCAAUUGGAUGUAGAUUACCACUGACUAGAACUUGAUGUCGUUCCCUAGUAUGUAUUUCCAGUAUCAAACGUCGAGCCACCGACGUACAUGUCCCAUCCACCGACAGAGUGUCUUGCAGGGGAUGUACAUUUGACACCACUACCGAACAUGAGCUGUUCUGUAUUUUGUAACCCACUAACCGAGUGACGGCCAGGGGUCGUGUAUACAUCUCGAACACCAGUCGCAAGUACAUCAGUUGGCGAUGUAAAUUGUACAUAUAACUCAAUAUAAGGUGCUCCACUAGCAAGAUGAGUCUGCACUAUUGCCUCCAAGCUACGAGCACCUUUUAUGUCAAACGAGUCAUAUGUCACCGGAUCAAUAGAAGAGCAAAAUCGAUACGUGAUAGACAGAACUUUCAUUGGCGUUGUUCCAAAAAUUUUACGCCUAAUUCUUUUACGAAGUUCUGGUUAAAAACCAGUCGCACCGUAUUCUCCGAAAAAAAAACACCAUUUUCGGUGUGGUAAACCUCACCAUCAUAGUAAAUAACAACACUAAUACGUUCACUCAUAUUUGAAACUCUAACCUUCUUAGCCUCUCUAAAUUGUUUUUGCUGUGACUUAUGCAUUCUAAGAACAUUUCCUGCCUAAUUUAUAGCCUCAGCCCAAACAUGCUAUUGUAGCAAAAGCGCGUUCACGAGGGCACGAUUUCACAAAUUCUUCUCAAAUAGCAUCCUGCUAGAAGCGAUUUUAUACUAUUUGAUCAGAAACGUCAACUCGAAAUUAUUUCUUCUAGGACCUAAAAAGCCUAAAAAGCCUAAACCCUAAGCCCUAAAAGCCCAAAAAACCUAACGUGGGAAAAAGGGCAAAAUCGCGUCCCCCGGACCGCGCCAUGUGGCAUGAACUCGCGUCCACAUCAGUACGAUUUGCUGACGUGGCAACAAAUCGCGCCCUCUAGGACGCGAUUUGUUGCCAUGUUAGCAAAUCGCGCUAACGUAGCUGCGAUUUCCUGGCACAUCCCCUGACAUCGCGCUGACGUGGACGCGAUUUUCUGGAAAAUGGACCAUUCAGGUAAAUAAUUAAAUAAUUGGCCCAUUUCGGUAAUUUUUUUAAAAAAAGAGCUUGUUUUGGUAAAAUGCCCGAGCUUGACUGCUCGCCUCAACUGAUAAAAUUUGAAUUUGAGAAAGCAUGAGUUUCAAAAAAUAUAAGUCAAGAAAUUUUGAACUUGAGAAUAUCCAAAUUUGAAUUAACUCGAGUCUGAGAAAACUUGAACCUGUAACAAUUUGAGAAUAAGAUCAAUCUAGUUUCAAAUCAAGAUGGAGCUUAUCUAGAACUUGAAAAUGUUCAAAUUUAUAACUAAACAUACAUUAAUAUAAUUGUUUUAUAAGAUUUAAAAUGAAAAUAAAUAAAUGUAAUUAUUUAAUUUAUGAAAAUAUAUUUAUAAAUAUUAUAUAAUUAUAAUAAAAUUUAUUGGAAAUAAAAAUAAUAAAUUUUUAUGUUAAAUUCUAAAGUAAAAUAAAUUUUAAAAUACUAUGAAUAUAAAAUGUUUUUUAAUGCAAUUAAUAUAUUUUUUUAAAAGGUAAAGCAAUCAUUAUAUAUGAAAUAUAUAUAAUUAAUAAUUAUUCAAACCUAUAAAAUUUAAAUUUAUUUAUGGAAAGAGUUCAAGGUAACUUUUGGUGAUAGUUAUUUAGUGGUUGUGCUAAGAAUUUUUAAGUAUUUGAGAGAAGAUGGUAGAGAACGGGUGAAGCUAGAGAUAAUGGAAGUUUUCCAUGCCCUUUGUGUAGGUUUUUGAGUGACAUAUAUACAAGAUUUCUUUCUGGAUCUUAUAUUGCAUGUUAUCUAAAUAGUAGGUUUGAUGAGUCCUAGCUAUCCUUAAACACGUGCCCUUAAUGGCUAUGGAUGGUCAUGUUUAUAUAGGUUGGUGUUGUGAUGGGAUUAAGUGAAAUCAAUGUGACAAGGAAAUGAAAAGGUAGAUAACAUUAAUUGUGCAGUGUAAGGCACAAUUCUUUGGUAAGGUAUAUAGAGUCGGCUUAGCGAGGUACAUAUGGCUAUCAGGUUGGUGAAGCAUAGUUAUUUUUAGAGAUAUGUUCAUUCAAAAUAUUUCUAUGUGAUUAAUAGGGUUUGAUGCGCCAUCGUAUGAUUCUAUGAUCAACAUUUGAAAUCCUUUUGGGGUGAUGCGAGCUUCCUAGCAUCUCAUGGUUGAAAAGUGGUGAAUGAGCAAUCAACUUUUACUCUAUAGCCUCCAUGCAUCUUAGCUUUUAUGGUCUCCCCUUUUUCAUCCACAAGCACUUUGCUUUUAAGAUGUGUUUUCCUUUGUCAACUUUUUGUAUCGUCUCUCUGCCUAUUUGGCGUCAUGGCCUAGGAGGUGAAUUGUUAAAAAAUGAGUAAGGAAACAUUGGGAGAGUUAUCUAUAAAAGUAGUAUCAACCUCCCCAUGUUUGGUCAAGUUAAUCUCCUCUUUUUAGUGUGUUGUCCAUCCGUCGUUGUUCCCUGAGGCCAAUUCUUUUACUUUGUUUGUGAUGUUUCACAUCUCAUCCUUAAGUUGCUCAAGAUCUCAUUUGUCGCGUCAUUGGUUUGUUGAUGUAGUGAGACUUUCAUUCUCUUGCUCCAUUUGUGGAUUAUCUUAAGAGUUGCCUUUAUUUUUCUCGUUCCAUACUUAGGGAAGAAGAUAUGUAGUGAGACAAGAAAAGAUGUCAACCAUCUUAUACGAAUAUAAUGCAGCAUGUAUAGCUCAAUUAAAAGAAUGAUACAUCAAAGGAGAUAGAAUAAAACAUAUUUCACCAAAAUUAAUCUUCAAUCAUGAUCUUGAGAAGAAAGGUGAUAUAGAAGUCCAACAAUUUGGUUCAAAUAAUAAUUUGGUUGAUCUAUUUUACCAACUUCGACAUUUGGAAGGGUGAUAUAAAGAAUUGGAAUGCGUGAACUAAAAAAUGUUAAAUGACGUCACCAUUAAGAGAGUAAAUACAUAUUAUACUCUUUUUCUUUUAACCAAAGUUUUAUCAACUGGUUUUCAAUUGGGCAGUAUGUUAUGUGUAUUAACCAAGGAAAAGUAUUAUAAAUCAUAUACUAUGGAUGCGCAUAACUCCUAACCAUUCCUCAAAGAAUUUGUAAGAAAUAAAUUCCUUUAAUUCAUUAGUUUGCAUUUAGGUCUUCAUUCAUUGAAGUUAUCGUAUAAAGCAUGCAAACAGAGGCUUCUACAAUUCUUAUAUACAGUAAAAAAAUACAAUUAUUCUAUCAUACUUUGUUUUAUACUUUUUUUUCAUCUCUUAUUUAAAUACAAUUCUUUUUCUAGUUUUAUAAUAUUUUUUAAAAACUAAAAAAGAGAGUAAAUAUGUUACAUAUAAUAAGCAAUUUUAAUUCUGAUUUAUAAAUCUCUAUUAUAAUGAGAUCUUCUAUACAGAUUCUACUCUUUUUAAUAGUUGAAUUUUAAUUGUAUUAUCAUAAAUUAUUUGGAUUUAUGUAAGUUCGCUUGACCCCAAAAAUUUUAAAUUCAAAAUACUUAAUUUGAUUUCCAACCCCUAAAAAUCUAAACUCAAGUAUCCAAAGACGGUUUGUUUUGUUUAUAGAUAGUGUGUUUUGGUUUUUAUAAGGUUAAAUAUUAUUUAUUAUUCGUUUAAAUUUAUCAAAAAAAUUUAUACUCUUAUAAAAAUCCUUAUAUUUUAAUUUUGAGAUAUUAAAUUCUUUUAUUUUUUAUUUAAAAAUUUUGGUCCCUCCAUCUACUUUUUGUAGUUAAAGUAAAAUAACUCUUUUAGUCCUUAAUAGUUACAAUUUUUUGUUAAUUUGGUUCUUACCCUAUAAAAGAACAUAAUUUUUUAAAAGAUUUUUUUUACAUUAUUUUAAAUAAAAACAUAAAAUAAAUUUAUAAUUUUUUUAAAAUUAAAAUUAAAAAAUAAAAACUCUUUAAAAUAUAAAAAAGAUUUAAAAAUAUAAAAAAAUUCAAAAUACAAUGGUAUUUAAAUUAGACCAUACCAACUAAUCGAAUCGAAUGAAUGAAGAACUGAUUAGAGUAUUAUUUGUUGAGAGGUAAAGACCAGUGGACCAACACAGACUGGUUGAACUGAGCUAAAAAAAAUGGUUGAAACAAUUUUAAAAAUUAGUUUGACAAACUGAUUCCCUUAAUGAUUGGUGCGACUGGUUAAAAGCAUAUAAAUUAUUAAAAAUUUAAAAAUUUAUAAAAACUAGUUCAACUACCAGUUCAAUUGCUUUUUUAAUUCAGUUCAACCAGUCUAUACUAGUUGGUAGAUCAACUGAUUUUUAAAAUUUUUAAAACAAUUUAACCUUUAACAUUUACAAAUUUUUUAAAAUUUAAUCCACACCUCUUAAAAAAAAGUAAAUUGUAAAAGAAAAAAAAAACCAAUAGAAACUAAUUUUGAAACUUCUUAAAAUACCUAUAUAUCUGAGAGGCUAAAAGAGGUGGAAUUUGAUAACUUGAAAAGCUCAAGCAUCAUUGAGGGGUUUCCCAUCGACGAUUUAGAACAAACUAGUGUUUAUCUCCGCCUUAAUUUACAAAUAAAUAAAGGGAAAUCUGAUCCCCCCAUGGUCGUUUACUUGCUUCAUAAAAAUGGUGUCUGAAAAUACAACUUAAAUUUUAACCCUCCUACGCCCAACAAAUCUAGCAGGACUAAACCGACUAAGAUCAACAAUGGUAGCACGUCCCUCAAGAACAAGCUCAGCCACAGCAGCACCUGUAGCUGGACCAUUGAGUAUCCCCCAACAACUGUGACCAGUGGCAACAUAACACCCCUUCAUCCCUGGAACUUCUCCUAUUAUUGGCACCCCAUCGUCGGUGCAUUACAAGAAACAAGCUUGUUCUGCCUUCACUCGCGCUUCUCCUUCCCUCAGAUGGCUCGAAAAGCUAGGUCUUGCUCUUUCAUUGUUUUAAGAAAUUCCUUUUUUCCCUCUGAAACUAUCUCGAUAUUUCAUCCAUUUGUGUAGAAUCCUCCUUCUGUUCCAACAUUAGUGGCUGUAAAGUGGGCGAGCUCAUUGAGAAAGUCGGCAUUCAUUGUUGAUUGGCAUAUUUUUGGAUAUACCUUACUUGGAUUGUCUGUGGGAAGAAGCAGCCCAUUUGUCUCAAUGUACCAUUGGUAAGUUAUAAGCCUCCUGUUUGGUAUUGUCAAAGGACAUUUCUUGAGCUGUGCGAUGGAUGGAUCUGGUUUUGAAUUUUAAGUAUCUGCUUAGGUUUGAGAAGCGUUAUGGGCAAAUGGCAAAUGGUUCCCUAUGUGUAACAAGGGCAAUGCAGCAUGAAUUAGCUCAAAACUGGGGAAUUAGGUAAGAUUUCCAGCUCAUUGUUGGUUAAUUAUUUUCAUUUUCUGAUGAAAUGUUAUGGGAAAAUGUCUAAUUAUAUUGCAUGUGGUUAAAUUUAUAGAGCCACAGUUUUAUAUGAUCAGCCUCGUGAGUUUUUUUGUCCAACUUCACUUCAGGAGAAGCAUAAGGUGAGAUUCAUGUUCUUGAGUUCUCAUAAAGAUUUAUUUUGUAAUGGAGUUCCAUACUUAGUUGUUUUGCAGAUUAAAUAGGUAUCUUUGUCACCCUUUUGGGGUUCGAGAUUGUGUAACUGCUAGUAAGUCUAGUAAACAAUCAAAUUUAUUUUGAUUAGCAGCCUUAAAGAACACUUUUGACUGAUUUUACCCUAAAUGCAGCAACUACAGGAAUUGGGGCAGAUGACCAAAAUGAAACAUUAUUUACAACUCAGGUUGACACUGACAUCUUGUUGAAGCCAAAUAGGCCAGCUCUGUUGUAAGCAGUACAAGCUGGUGAGACCAUCCUCUAUGAAUGCCCUAUUUGCGUACUUCUUGCACUCCAUAUUUCUGCUUUUCUUUUUACCCUUAGUUGCUCUAGCCUCAUUAAACUUUUACCCAGUAAGAGCGAUAAUGGAAAGAAUAUUCUAAUAGAUGUUAGUCUAUGGAAUAUAAAAAUGCUCAUGUUGACAAGUUUUGUUCUUAAAACUUACUUUUUGCAUGAUAUCUUUUUUUUUUAAUAUGUUGCUGACUUAUUAUGGUUUUUUCUGAUAAAUUCUGAUUGAGAUUAUUUGUGUUUUGGUUGCUAUGGAAGAAGUUUAUUUUUUGUUCUAUUUUAAGAUCACUUAAUUUCACUUUCAACAAUUUUUAUUAUUUUAUUGAAGUAUAGUUAUGCUCACUGUAGAAGUUUCUCCUAUCCUAUUUUAAGAUUAUUUAAUUUCAAUUAUAACCAUUGCCUCCCUUUUAUUCAAGUAUGCACACGCUUAUUUUUGCAUGGUGAGUAUUUAUAAAUCUAUUAAGUGAUUCAUUCUCAAGAAUAACAUCUUUCCAGGACACCAGAUGAAGAUUUUGGGAUUCUAUUGGAAGCAGCGGUGAUGUAUGAUAGACGAGUUGCUGCUCUACUAGAUGAAAAUGAUUCUGCUGAUGAAUGGGUCCUCUGGAAGGAGAUCUCUGGUGGAAAGCAAUACUUGUACCCUAGGUUGUUGUUCAUCAUUACAGGUAACGGUACUGUAUGUCCCAGAAGCACCUGCUUCUGUGCUCCAUUGUUUCUUAAAAAUUUUCAAUAUUCAUUUAGGCAAAAGUCCUGAAAAGGAAAAGUACGAAGAGAAAAUAAAGAGGCUAAACCUCAAACGUGUUGCAUUUCGUACCACGUGGCUGUCAGCUGAGGAAUAUCCAUUGCUUCUUGGUAUGAUAUUCGUAAUCUAUUUUCUCUUCCUCAUAGUUCAUUCGGAAGAAGGGAAAAGUGCUUCAUGCUACCUGUUUUACAUCCAUAUUCUUGCUUCAUUUUACAGGUUCAGCAGAUGUAGGUGUUUGUCUGCAUACUUCCUCCUCAGGAUUAGACCUUCUCAUGAAGGUAUGUCAUUCUGGAGCUCCUGUUGAAGCCUUCUUAGGAAAAGAACAUUUGCAGCGAUAAACCUUUAUCACUCACCGAACUUGUAUUGUCUAGUAGGUGGUGGAUAUGUUUGGUUGUGGUCUUCCAGUAUGCGCUGUUUCCUACUCUGGUAAACUUGUGCACUUAUCAUGCAUGGUUUAGUGGCUUACAAUUUGAUACCUUUUAAUGCUAACGUCUAUUACUAUCUGCUACUGGUUUGACUUCUGAAGCAUUGACGAGCUUGUGAAGGUUGAGAAAAAUGGCCUGCUCUUUUCAUUGUCAUCAGAGCUAGCUGAUGAGCUCUUGGUAAGUGUUUUGUACUUAACAAAGACAAUUGGUACUUGCAAAUAAAAGUGGAUGAUGCACAACAUCUUCAUACAACCCUUCCUAGGAAUCAUGAUAGUACUAGUUAAGCAUCCAUUCUCACCUAGAUCUAGAUAAUUUGUUGGAGCACUAUUGGAUCAAUUGAAAAUUACUCCACUUGCAAUCGAUGUUGUAAGAUUCGGACUGGUGGUCAAACCAGCUUGACCAUCUGUUCCCGGUUCAACCAUGACAAAAUAAAGAAUUUCAAAAUAUUCUAGAAAAUUUAUAAAAAAGAAAAAAUAGGAAAAAAUAUUAAUAAACACAAUAGAUAAAGAUAGAAACAUAAACAAUAAAGAUAGAAACAUAAACAUUCAUUUUAUAAAUUAUAACCUCAAAAUUAAAUAUUUAAACUAGCUUCAAUCUAGUUCAACUUGUUUUUUAACUGGUUUGAUUGGUUUUUACUAGUUGAAUCGGUGUUGGUUUUAUGGAACCAGUGUCGGUUUUAUGGUACCGGUUGGACUACUGGUUCACGAUUCAACCAUUCGGUCUGGUCUAGUUUUGAUCACCAUGCUUGCAACUGACACUUCAUUGCAGCAAACUCCUCUUGUAGGUCGAAAAUCUCAUGAUCUUAAUUCACAUCAACAAAUUCCUUGAAAUUGAACAAUUACUCAUGAUCGCAUUAUGAGACUCUUGAAUCAUAGCUCUUUAGGCCCUAUGAGCUAAACGUUGGGGGGAGUGUGUAGCAGUAACAUCCCACAUCCGUCAAGUAUUAGGUUGCCUAUGGUCUUAUAUUAAAGUUGGGUCCCUCCACCUACUACCAAUUGGUGUUAGCUUGUGAUUGGCUGUUGAACCUUAUUAUAAACUGGGACCAGAAUAACUAAUUAAAUAGUUCGUUGUUAUUUUGUGACUUACAUUUCCUGAGACUGUUACAAUGGCGGUUUCUAAUAUUCCUUGGUUUUCUAUUUUACGUAUCAACACUGGCAGAUGGUCUGAAAUCUCUCAAGAACGGUGCAUUGGAAACAGGUUCUUCAGCUAGAUGGGCCGCUGAGUGGGAAGAACAUGCUAAGCCGUUAAUAUCAGAGGUUCUUUAACUCAUCCUUAAUCUUUUUUUUUUGUUCUAUUUCCCUUCACAUUUUACUUCCACUUUAUCUGAUGUUUCUCAACAAACUGUCUUAUUCAUUUCUCUCCUUUUCCUACCAUUCAGGGUGUAUUACCCCUUUCAGCAUGCUUUUUAAUAAAAGACAGAAAUGAAAGAUUUCCUUUAAUUUUCCCGUUUUUAAUUGAAUAAAUGGACUUCAAUUUGCAGGUUAUAUUCAGAAAAACUAACCUUAACUUCAGCCAUCUUGUGUCAAAGCUAGCCAUUCCAGCCAACUGCCUCUGCCACAUAUGUUAGUUUUUAGUCAAAGUGUUUGCUUCAUGGGACAUAUGCUUACUCCAAUUUUCCCAGGGAAUAUCACAACCCUUUGGUUAGAACUCUUUAGAUUAUAGUCCUUAUAUUUCCAAAAUGACAGUAAGUUUUUAUUUGUGGCAGCAUACAUAUGAUCGCAUGGUUUGGAUUUCUCAUGUUUAUAGGGUGUUUGACUGCUUCAAUCCCUGAAAUGUAUUAUUGUUAAAUUGAUAUAAAUACAUGGUUGCUAGUGAUUUGUUAGCAGCUGAUCAUAGUGGAAAAAAUCACCCACGGCUCCAUUUUAACAAUCAUUCAGAGUGAUCAGCUUGAUAGUGAUUUGUUACCAAUGUGUCAUAUUGUUGUUUGAUCAGCUUGAACAUCACGGUAAACUACUUCUCAACCAAAUACACAAAUCAUUCUGCUAGUUGCCGAAGCUUGCCAGAGCAGAUGAAAGUUAAAGUUUGCACAAUGGAUGAGCUCCCCUGCUAUACUGAACCAGAUGAGUUUGAAUACAAAGAUGAUUGUGAUAACUUGGAUGAAUAUGACGAAGUCAGUGAUUCAUGUGAAACAGUUCCAGAAACAUAUCCAAAUGAAGUGGUUAUUGUUUCAGCAGAUAAUUUGCAUAGCAUCAAUUUGCAUAGCAUCAUUCAUGGGGCUUGUCAUGAACAAUUUGAACAGAUUGAAGAAAAUGGGAAAAUAAAACCAGGGGAGUCAUCCAAUCUUGGAGUAGGUAAUGUAGAGUCACUAGUUUUCAUUGAUCCCCAAUUCCCCCUACUAGCAAGGCAAACCUCAAUUGCUACUGGCCUCACCAUGGUAAUGCUGCUGAAUGUGCAGAUAUGAUGAGCAUUGCUGGGAAGGAGUCUUUGAGGGGCAUGCGGUUUACAUAUGCUGUGGAAGCUGAUGAAGAUCCACAACCAUGGCUAAAAGAGAAACUAUUGACUACUGACGAUUAGUUUAGUAACAGACAAAAGAAACCCAAGUGGCCUUUAAAAUGCCCCAAAACUGAUGGAACCCAAUGAAGAAGCAAAACUUGGGUUGGAUUUCUCUGCUUCUUUGAACUGUGUCAGUCUCCUUUACGUAUGUGUUGAAAGGAUUAAUUAGAUAGGUAGCUCAUGCUGCUUCUUCAUUAAAUGAGUGUAUUAUAUUUACCGUAUUUUAGAUAGACAUUAAAUAGCUUAACUGCUCUCUAAAUUCUUGAUGUUUCUUUCCCCUCCUCUUUCAUCCUUUUUUUGUAAUAUUUUCCUUCUUUAUAUUUUGUUUUCUUUAUUCUCUCUUCCUCCGUUCUUGUACUUCGCGGAUUCUCUCUUGUCUCUUUUCAUUUUUUUCCUGUCAUUCUUUUUUAGCUUUGUGUAACCACAUGCAAAACACACACACACACACACACAGACUCUACUGCAGAAAGAGAGUUUUCUGUUUUCUGUGAUAUUGAAAUCCCCUGCUUCAUGGGAGAGUCAUUUCAGGUAUGAAUCUUUACUUCAAAUGUGCAUUUGCCUUUUCAUGUAUUUUUUAGUUUCAGAUCUAUGCUUUUUUUUUCUGUGAGUUUUUUGGUUUUCAUCUUUAGAAUAAGUUUGUCUUUGCCUUUUAAUCUCUGUUUUAGUUUUCAGAUCUAUGCUUCUUUCCUUGUUUUUCAGUCAGCUUUUGUUUGAGUUUUUGGUUUUCAGCCUUAUUAAAUACUGUUUUGGUUCGUCUUUUCAAAUCUAUGGAUGUUGGUGUCCUUGUUCUUUUCCUUAACAUUUGUCUUCUUGCUUUUUCAUCUCUGUUUUGGGGGUGUGGUUUGUUUAGCUGGGUCAGUUUGUAGGUUGUUGAUUCGGGUUCGUUUUCUUUGUUUUGGGCCUUUGGGGCCAUUGGUUUGGGGUGACUUGGGAUAGUGGGCCUGUUUUUUUGGGCGUGGGAUUGUGGGCAUGAAUUUGGGGUUUCUGUUUGGGUCCUGUGGCUUGUGAUAAUGUGCAUAUUUUCAUAGUUUUUUCUUUCCACAAUUUCCUUUUAUUUUUUUCUAACGUUUCUUUCCCCUUCAUUCUCUCCGUCUGUCCCAUUUUUCAAUUUUUCCUCUCAAUACUUUUUUAGCUUUGGGUAACCGACGGCCAAAAAAAGGCACAGACACUAUACAGUGAUUUUCUCUGCCGUUUCUGUUUUUGUGAUUCUUGGAAUCCCUUGCUUCAUCAGGUAUGAAUCUUUACUUGAACAUUGUCUUUGCCUUUCUAUGUUUUAACUUAAGAUCUAUGCUUUGUUACUUCUAUAUUUUGGUUUAUUUUAUGGUUUUUGAUUUUCAGGUGUAAAAACCACUGUUUCGCUGUGUUUGAAAUCUAUCCAUCUGGGUCUGUUUGUUUCUUUUUGGUUGUUUUAUUGUCUACUUUCGUGAGAGAGAGAAGCCCUAAGUUUUCUCUUCCGUUUCUGUUCGUUGUGAUUUUUGAAAUCCCUGCUUUAUCGGAGACUGAUUUCAGGUAUGAAUCUAUACUUCUACUUUAGUUUUCUCUUCCAUUUGCGUUUUCAUUUCUGCUUUUGUUUCAGAUCUUUGCUUUUUUAUUUGUAUUUCAGUUUGUUUUUAUAAGGACUUUUUGUUUUCUGCUUGAGACAUCAGUGUGAAUUUUUUGUUUUUAGUUUUCUAUUUUUUGUGAAUUUUGAAAUCCCCUACCUUUGUUUUGUUGCCUUUUCAUCUUUGAUUUUUGUCAGAGAUUUUGGUUUUCAGCUUUAGAGAAAAUCUAUUUCGUUCCGUAUUUGAAACUAUGGAUCACGUUGUGGUCUUUUUUUUUUUUUUCUCAGGAAAAUACUGUUGGGGCUUGUUUUUUUGGGCCUAAGUCAUGCUUAGAUUUGGGCUUAUGUUACGCUUAGGUGUGGGUCUCAGUUUGGGCUUAUGUUUUUUAUUGUGGUAUUGGGCUUGUUUCGUCUUGUAGUAUUAGGUUUGGUUGUGUUCGAGUGGGUUGGAUUGGGUUCGGGCAGUUUUCUUGAAAUGCAAACAAAUAAAAACUUUUUUUUGUUAUUCUUCUAUUUUUUGGUACAUUAGUAAUUUUUCUAUUGUAUUUCACCUACGCUUGCCAUUUUGUUUUUCUUUUCAUUACAAAGAUUACAACUUACUCUGGAUUAACGAUAAUAUUAUUAUCUUUUGUGUGUAUUUGCAUUUGAUGUCAAAUUAUUAGGAAAGUGUUAAAACAAAGUUUUCAAAUAAAAUAAAAAUAAAUGAAUUUAUUAUCGACAAUUUUGUGGGGAAAAAUGUUUGACCAAGGAGUUUAUUGAUUUUAUUUUAAUAUAUAAAUGAAAACUUCGUACACAUUUUUACCAAGUAUUUGACUUUUCAUUUUUAAUAAAUUAUCUUAAAUACUUGUUUGUCAUAUUCGUUGGUUUUUUUUAACGUAUUACCUAUUUUUCAAUCAAUGUUGGUUUUUUGUCCAAAUAUAUGUUUGAUACAAUGAUAUCAAAUAAUCUUGGUUAAGAAAAAUAUUACUAAUUUGGUGGACAAUUGUUGAAACAUUAGAAUUAGUUUCGUUACAAGGCAAAUAGAUAAAUUCCAGAAUCGAAAUCGCAACCAUUAUUUUUUAUAUAGGCUUUUAGCAAAGCCACUAUGAUAACGUCUUAGUCAUCAAAUUAUUCUCUAUAUACAAGAACGCUAACUAGUUGACCGUCUUAGAGCCCGGUUGCUCACGAAUUGAAGUGGCGAGUGAGAAAGAGCAAGGAUUCACUUUCUUAGUAGCAAUAAUCAAAUGACUACUUCAAUUAAAUAAAAAAAAUAACAACGCAAUAAUUCUAUUAGUUUUAAAGUAGCAGACAAAAUAAAAUACCCAAGUCGCUUUCAAAAUGGCCCAAAAUUGGAGUCCAAUGAAGAAAACUUGGAUUGGAUUUCUUUGCUUUCUUGAAUUGUUCUAGUCUCCUGUUCUUUUGUUUUGGUUUGGGUCGUUUUAGAUUGUAUUAGUGUUGGUUUAGGUUGUUUUAGGGUUUGGUUCAUGGUGAUUUUGGGUGUGAUUUGUGUUAUUUCCUAGUCGAUUUAAGAUUGGGUCGGUUCGGAUUUAGUAUGGAUUGGGUGUAUGUCAGUUCAGGUAUAGGUUGGUUUUUGUGUUGGUGAAUUUUGGUUUUAGGGUUCGGUAAUGUCAUUUUGGGUUUGAUUCAAUGUCUUUUUGGUAUCGUUUUAAGAUGUUUAUGGGUUCGGUUUGGGAUUAUAGUGUUUAGGUUUGGGGUUAUGUUUUUAGUGUGGUGUCAGGCUUGUCCCGUUUUGUAGUGUCAAGUUUGGUUGCGUUCGAGUCGUUUUAGGGUUUGGUUUAGGUAUUUUAGGGUCAAUUCAACUUGUUUUAAGGUUUGAUUUUGGACUUUAGGGGCUAGUUUUGGGCUUUUUGGGUUUGAUUUAUGGUGAUUUUAGGUUCGGUUUGUGUUAUUUUCCUAGUUAGUUCGGGUUUAGUACAGUUUGGGUGUAGGUCUGUUUGAGUUUAAUACGGUUUGUGUGUAAGUCUGUUUGAGUUUAGUACGAUUUGUGUGUAAGUUAGUUUGAGUUUAGUAUGGUUCAAGUUUUAGUCGGGUCGGUUUAGAUUUUAGGGUUUAGUUUAGGUUAAUUUGAGUCUAGUUUAGUGUUUUUUUGGUAUUGAUUCAGGGUGUUUGUGGCUUCGGUUGAGUGUAGGUCAGUUCGGGUUUAGUCAAGUUGGAUGUAAGUCGAUUUAGGGUUUAAGAGUAGACUAAAUCUAAAUAGGAUGCCAUACAUACCAAAAACAAAAUUAUGAUACUAAGAUUCCAUCACCACCUAUCUAUAUUGGCUAGACCAAAUUAGAGGUGUUCAUGGGUCAAGUCAGGUCAUUACAAAAUUUUAGUCUUGAUCGUUAGGCUUAGGUUUGGCCUAAAAAGUGGGUCUAAUUCUUUGUCUAAGCCCAACCCAGAUCAUAAAUUUCAAGUCGAAGCUUGGCCCUUAUUAAAUUUUUUGUUCUUAUAGCCCCAUAGAAGGGAAUCGAGUUGAGUUAAAAAUAAAUAAUAAUUAAAUAAGCCUACAAGAGACAAAGAUCAAAUGAAGAAUCAAGAACAAUAAUUCAUAAGCUUCUAAUAUGGUCUGAAGCUAAUGCAUCACAAAACUCAAAUGUAAAGUCAAGUUGAUGCAAUAUAAGCCUUUCUAGAAAAAGUGAUAUGACAAUAAUAACUUUAGCAUGAUAAGAUAGCCAUUUUGAGGUUAGCAAUAUGCAACAGAAUCUAAUUUAUACUCUUAAGAAGAGAUAAAAAUUAUUGUAAAAAAUAAUAUUUAGGCCUAUAAAGGAGACAAUGAUCAAAUGAAAAACUAACAAUAGGAACAUCUUAUAGCCAAACAAAUUUUCAUAAUAUCAUCUUCAUUUCAAAAAUUAGCAGAUAAGGCAACUGUUGAAGUAAAUAAGUCUAGACAUGGUUGUUGCUAAAGUGAAUUGCAAUAGACUGUUACAAUUCAUUACCAAUACAUUAUAAUGUCUAAAUACGAUUUCAUGUUUUAUAUUUUAUAAAGCAUGGAACAUUAAUUCAUAUAGUUUGAGAUUAUCAAAAGAAAAAAUAAAAUCAAGGUUCUACAAUAUCCAAACAAUAUUAAAAGCAGUAGCAGAAUAACAUUAAAAGUAGCAGUGGAACAACAUUAAAAACAGCAAUGAUAGCACCAAAAGCAACUUGCAAAAUGUAAUCAAUCAACCAGAAUGCCUAAAUUUAAAGUGUAGAAAAAGAAUUAAUACUUUAAGUUGCCCCAAAUGUAAUAAAAGAUAAAAAAGCAAUUAUCACUUUUGAUUUGAGAAUAAACUUAUUAUGACGUGCUUAUCAUGCUUUCUCUUAUAGCUCGACUAUCUUUCUUCGACAUUGCGUCAUUCAAGUUAUUUUUAAUGCUAAUAAUCAAUCUAGCUAACAUAGUUUGAUUUUAGGGUAAAUAAUUUAAGCUAAAAAUUAAAGUUACAAAGCUUGAGUCUUGAGAAUUAGGAUAAUCCCAUUUUGACCCUUAAUAAUUACCCUUUAUCUAAAAAUUUAAAUCACAUGUAAAUUAGUAUGAAUCUCCAAUAUAAUACAUCAAUAAAAGUUCAUAGAUUUUGAGACACUUUAAUAGUGAAUUUAAGCUUUAAAUAACUAGGAACCUUUAAAUAGUGAAUUCUAAUACCCUACGGCAAAAAAAAGUUCAAACUUUAAAAAAAAAUUGUUAACUCUAGUACAGUUGAAGAACCUUUAAAUAAUUCGGAAUUCAAGCUUUUGAGACACUUUAACCGUGAAUUCAAAACUUAAAAUUCGUGCAUCUCUCAUUCAAAGAAUAGACUAAAGAAACAAUCUUUAGUAAUGAAUUCAAUAUAACAUUAAAAAAACACAAAACGGUGCAUUAAGUGAUUGAAGAACGAAAAGAACUCAUUGAUUAAUCAAAAAAUUCAAGAAGCAAAAACGCUAAAAAAGAAAUUAAAGGCUGGGGCAAAGGAGACGAUAGUAAUGAACGUUGGUGACAGAGGAAGCAAUAGCUUCACUGGCUAGUCAACGAUACAACACCACUUAGGAAUUUUUGGUUAAAAUAGAAACCAUUUCGGGGCAUUUGGGAGUAGUGGGAAUAGUAGCUGAAUACAACACUGUACCUUUGCCUUUACCACUAUUCCCAAAUGCCCCAAAAUAGUUUUUAUUUUAACCAAAAAUCCCUAGGUGGUGUUGUAUCGUUGACUAGCCGGCGAAGCUGUUGCUUCCUCUGUCGCCAACGUUCACUAUUAUCAUCUUUUUUGCUCCAGCCGUUUUUAAUGUCGCCAACAUUCACUAUUGUCGUUGGGUAGUUUCGUUGGUGGAUUACAUAUUGUAGGUUGUUUCACUGUUGUUUUUAGUAUUGUUUCACUGCCGUUUUUAAUGUUGUUUCACUACUGCUUUUAAAGUUUUUCCGUUACUGUUUUUAAUAUUGUUUGGAUAUUGUAGAAUAGUUAUUUUAUUUUUUAUCUCUUGAUAAUCUCAAACUAUAUGAAUUAGUGUUUGAUUCUUUAUAAAAUAUAAAACAUGAAGUCGUAUUUAGACAUUGGUAAUGAGUUGCAACAGUCUAUUACAAUUUACUUUAAGCCUGAUUUUAUUUUUUAUAAUAAUUUUGGUCUCUUCUUAGAAGUAUAAAUUACCUUAAAAUGACUACCUUAAAAUGAUUACCUUAUCAUGCUAAAGUUGUUAUUGUCAUUUCACUCUUCUUAGAGGGGCUUGUAUUGCAUCAGCUUGCCUCUACAUUUCAGUAUUGUGAUGCAUUGGCUUCAGACCAAAUUAGAAGUUUAUGAAUUAUUAUUCUUGAUUAUUCAUUUGAUCUUUGUCUCUGUUGUAGGCUUAUUUAAUUAUUAUUUAUUUUUAACACAACUUUAUUCUCUUUUUUGGGGUUAUAAGAACCAAAAAUCUAAUAUGGGUUGGGCUUGACAUUUAUAAUCCAGGUUGGGUUUGGACAAAAAAUUAGGCUCACUUUUCGGGCCAAAGACUAGCAAUCGAGUUUAAAAUUUUAUUAUGGCUCGGUUCGACCCAUGAACACCUCUAAUAUUGGCCGUAUAUGAUUUUAAUAUUACCAUAGGUAUAUUAUGAAUAAAAGUAUAAUCAUCAAUGUAAUUCACAAAGGUUUUUCGUUAAGAAUAUGGAUCAUGUAUAAGAAUGUACCCCAUAAAUUCUCUUUCUUUUCAAAAAAAAAAAAGACUUUACCUAUCAUUUAAAAAGAAUGGCUACUAGAAUUUGGUUGAAAAUUUUCUCCUUGUGAAAAUGAAAGUUUUAAAAUGCAAAAACCGAGCAACAAAAUUUAUUCACACAUGCAGAGGUAGCAAGUGUACACCCCAACCUAUUGCAUGCUCGUACAAAAAUAAACUCAAAAAUAUAUAGGAAGGAAUUUGCUGCAGUAGUGUGGGAUAACUCUGGUCAAGACUCAUUUAAAACUCAUAGAAAGCUUGAUAAAUAAGAACUAUUAGGAAAACAACCAUAGAGCCAACAAAACUCAUUCACACAUGUAGAAGUAACAAAUGUACAUACAACUAUAUGCCUGCUCAUACAAAAAUAAACCCAAAAAUAUGAAGAAAUUUGUUGCAAUAGUGUGAGAUAACAAUGGUUAAAUCUCAUUUAAAAAUCAUAGAAAACUUAAUAAAGAAUCAUUGGAAAACAACCAUAAAGCUUCAGAGGGAAUACAAUAUUGGCAAGGUCCUUGUUCUUAAAAUAAAUGAAGAGGAUGUCAUUCAAGUAUUCUGUGCAUUACAUCCUUUCCUCCCCCGCCCACCCCAACCCAACCUAACCCAACAAUUCUUUUUCCUAAUUUAAAUGGUAAAGAAAAACACCUAAUUUUGUCUAUUCCUUUUUUUUUAUCUCUUUUAAAAACAUUACUCAUAAAUCAUAAAUCACUUGAGCUUUUGAAAAUUGUUAUUCUCAACCUCUUAAGCAAUUAAUAGAUAGAGCUAAUUAGUGGUUAAUAUCUUCUUCAAACUUUUAUACACCAUGAUAGUACAUCAAAAUUUUUGAAAGAUAGAGGAAAGAUUCCUCCGAAAGGAUUCUACAAUUUUUGGUGGAAACGACACACCAACCUUCAGUAGUAGUUAAGAGUAAGACUAUUUGCUCUAAACAAUAUAGAAAACAAAACUUGGGAUCCCAUUAAUGGAAAAUAAAACCUCACCUGCACUAUAAAGGCAUCAGGAGGAGGAACUUUGAAGCAAAGAAAUGAAAGAAGUAUUACAAACUUAAUGAUUGGCUUCAUUAAGAGCAUCAGUGGAUAAAUUAUCUUCAGUAAGCUAUGAAAGUGCUUUUGCCGUUGUAUCUCCGAAUUAAUUAAAAAAAUUAAACAAUAGAAUUUGAUAGCCUUGUAAUAAUGCCUUAGCCCAAUGAUAUUCCUCCGGACAAUACCAUUGUGUGAAUAUGAAUAGAUUCAUUCUCUUUAACAGUAGAGUGGGGUUUAGAACCUAUCAAAACAUUUAAAUCCACAUUCAAUUAGUAUAUUUAUUAAUAUAAGAAAUUUUUAAGAGCAGGCAUGUAGUUGGGUUUUCACAUUUAUUCUUAAAAUAAAUAUUGGCAAGGUCCACAUUCAAUUAGUAUAUAGAAGUAACAAAUGUGAAGAUCUGUCUAUCUAAAUUUAGAGUUUGAACAGAGUAAUCUUUCGUAUAUUUGGG
This 75040-nucleotide long non-coding RNA is filed under the name Gossypium raimondii (Peruvian cotton). Its description in RNAcentral is "long non-coding RNA (GRAI_LNC005430)". The stretch from base 4484 to 4628 matches the Rfam family "MIR7502 microRNA precursor family". Lineage: Eukaryota; Viridiplantae; Streptophyta; Magnoliopsida; Malvales; Malvaceae. The record is from RNAcentral.